UUUUUUUUUUUUUGUAAAUAGAAAGAUGAUUUAUGAAUGGAGCCCAAGAAGUGGACGGUCAGUCAUUAUAAAAGUAUGUGGAUCGUGCAUCAGGCAAGUAGUCCUCGUGUUUGAUAAAUUAAUGAAGAGGGAAUAUUAAGCGAAUAAUGUUAUAGAUACCAAAUUUAUAAAUUAAAUUAUAUGGAUAUAGAUGAUUGGAUUAUUACUUACGUGUUGAUUAACGUACUUAUUUUCUAUUUAUGACAUAUAAUUGAUUUGCAAAUUUGGUUUAAAUAAGUAGUCUCCCUAGAAUUAUUCAUACUAAGUAACCUCUCUAUAUAGAUGCCGGAUGUAUCUAAACUACCUAUAAACAAAGGGUAAUGCUAGGAAGACAAAAAAUUUAACCAAAUUUUGUAAACAAAAUUAUGUAGUUGUUGAUGAUUGGACUGUUACUUAAAUGUUGAGUAACGUGUUUAUUUCUUAUUAAUGACACAUAAUUUGGUUUGCAAUUUUGUUUAGAAAUUUGGUUUCUCUAACAUUAUCCAUUAACAAAACUCUCUUAGUCAAUCAAAACAAGGUGAAAGACAACAUAGUCUUCUAUUACAAAUAAAAUCAUGGGCGGUAAUGUAAUUUUGCACAAACCAAAUUUGUCUUUUUUUUUAAAGUCUCACAUAUAUGUAAUCCUAGCAUAUCUAAAAAAUAAAAAACUCUCUCCCAAUCCCAAGAUCUCUUUCUCCUUCUCUCCUUCCCUUUUUAAAAACCAAAAUAAAAAAUGUUCACACACACAAAGUGUGUGGGCGUCCGUUAGUAACGUAUAAUGAAAACAUCUAAUAGGAAUUUGUUGAGAUUAUUUUGAUCAAUUAUUGUAUACAGAAACAUGCGCUUUCCAAUAAAAGAUUAGACUAGCAAGAAAAAGAAAUAUAACUUAUAGUUUGGAAUGAGCAUUUGAAGGAAUGUACUAUAAAUCUGAAGAGAGAUACAAUUCACAGUGCUCUUUUUCACGCGAUAUUCAUAUGUACAAGAGCUCAAAUACCCCCUUAUAUAUUUGCAAAUAUUUUAUUAUAUUUUAACCAAAACCCCUCCCUGCUUCGAGUCCGAAGAUGAGGAUUCUACUCUAACAGAACGAAAAGAAUAAAGGAUCAAACUGCGGUUUGGUCAAGCGUAAUGAUAGUGAGCGUUUUAAAUCUUCACACAUUGGUCUACAAUAAAACUAUUUAGUUUUAGUUCAAUAUUAUUUAUAGGCAGCUAGAGAACAUAAGCACCCUCCAAAAUCACUAUCGACAUCAAGAGAUAGCCAUAUAAUAUAAUUAAGUAGCAGCUUCAUUAAUAUACUUUAGACUUUAGUAGUUUAUGAGAAAGAGAAAUUUAAUUAUGACAAUUUCUCAACUUUCUUGACUUUGAGAUAAAGCUAGCUUAGGGAAUCUCAUUCUCCAAUCAUAAAAGGUGCUCGGUUAUCUGUUUAUUAACUUGUGUUUAGGGCCUUGUUUCAUGCUAUAGAUUAUCUUUAAGUUUUCACUUUUCAUAUUCUUCGUGUAGGUAGUCUUCCGUUUCUUGGGUCAAAAUAUAUGCAUAUAGUCUCCCUAUAUGCAUAUAUUUUGAAGGAGAUUUUUGUAGAUGUAAUUUAAGUGGUUUUUUAUUUUUUAUUUUAUUUUUUAGGUUAGUAUUCACUCCACCCAAGGUAUAAAGGAGGUAAUUAACUAGAAAACUAUGUACUUUGUUGCAUCGGACAUGAAAAAAGAGAAGAAAUUGCUACUUUAUCAUUGGAAAAGAAAAUAAAUUGAUACUUGUCUUAAUAUCUAUAAUUUCAUGCGGCUUUGUUUAGAGCUACUUUAUGAAACUCAAGAUAAGACUCGUGGCAACUUUUUAAUCAUAUUCUCAAGAUCACGGGCCAAUAACAUAAUCAUAUACUUUUGCUAAACUAUGAAACAUUAAUUAACAAAAAAGACCAUUGUGGAUGCAAGUUUUGUAUGAGACUAGAUUGAUGAAAUUACACCAGCAAGACAACAAACAUUAUUAGCCUAAUUAAUGAACAACAACAACAACAACAACAACAAAGCCUUUUCCCACUAAGUGGGGUCGGCUAUAUGAAUCCUAGAACGCCAUUGCGCUCGGUUUUGUGUCAUGUCCUCCGUUAGAUCCAAGUACUCUAAAUCUUUUCUUAGAGUCUCUUCCAAAGUUUUCCUAGGUCUUCCUCUACCCCUUUGGCCCUGAACCUCUGUCCCGUAGUCACAUCUUCGAACCGGAGCGUCAGUCGGCCUUCUUUGCACAUGUCCAAAUCAUCGGAGCCGAUUUUCUCUCAUCUUUCCUACAAUUUCGGCUACUCCUACUUUACCUCGGAUAUCCUCAUUCCCAAUCUUAUCCUUUCUCGUGUGCCCACACAUCCCACGAAGCAUCCUCAUCUCCGCUACACCCAUUUUGUGUACGUGUUGAUGCUUCACCGCCCAACAUUUUGUGCCAUACAACAUCGCUGGCCUUAUUGCCAUCCUAUAAAAUUUUCCCUUGAGCUUCAGUGGCCUACGACGGUCACACAACACGCCGGAUGCACUCUUACACUUCAUCCAUCCAGCUCGUAUUCUAUGGUUGAGAUCUCCAUCUAAUUCUCCGUUCUCUUGCAAGAUAGAUCCUAGGUAGCGAAAACGGUCGCUUUUUGUGAUCUUCGCUAGAUUGCUCCGGUCAUUAGUGUGGAUAAGUAUAUAAAUGGAUAGAGAUAGGAAAGCAAAACACAAGAUGUACGUGGUUCACCCAGAUUGGCUACGUCCACGGAAUAGAAGAGUUCUCAUUAAUUGUGAAGGGUUUACACAAGUACAUAGGUUCAAGCUCUCCUUUAGUGAGUACAAGUGAAUGAUUUAGUACAAAUGACAUUAGGAAAUAUUGUGGGAGAAUGAUCUCGUAAUCACGAAACUUCUAAGUAUCGGAGUGUGGUGUCGUCUUGACUUGCCUUAUCUGUCUCAUAGGUAGAUGUGGCAUCUUCUCUGGAAGUACUCUUCCUCCAUCCAGGGGUGGUAUCUUUAACUGGUGGAGAUGCACAAGGUAAUGUAUCAAUUUCACUUGAAGCUUACUUGUAGUCUCAGGCUUGGUCAAGCGCGAUACAAACCAUGUAGUAGGAGUCCCCCAAGUCGCCGAGCUAGGGGGUCUGCUGAAAGAGGUGACAGACAAGGUAAGCAAUCAGAGCUCCGACUGAUUGUUCACCUUCUCCCCAUCUUGCAGCAGCAUGAAGGAUAAAAGAGAAGAAAAAUGAGAAGAGAUGAUAUAUGAGAUACUUUUGCUUUUGAAGAAGUAACUUUCCACAGGCUUAUUCUUGAACUGAGCUGGAGGGUUUUCUGGUUUCCUCCAGAGUAUAAGGCCGACUGAAGAAUUUGAGGGUCAAAACAAGUCCAUCAAAUCUAGAGUACGUUCCACCCUGCUGAUAUGGGAUACUUUUGCUUUUGACAGAGUAAUGGAUGUAUCGGCACGUGUGCUGUUACGCUUGUCUCCACAUGCUUCCUUGUAUCCUUCGCACUUGCCCUAUCUGUUCCUCAAGCAGAUGCGGAAUCUUCCCUGGAAACAUAAGAUGUUGAAGAUGAGUACUCGAGAGCAAUGCCAGGUAAGUAAUCAGGUAAGGGGUUCCAGGCAGUCAGUUCCUGGCUGGAAGCUUGAUUCCAAGUGCUGACUGAUUGCUCUCUUUCUCCUUGUCUUGCAGGUAAAAACAAGGCCAAAGGAAAAGGCAGGGAAAAAGCAUGAUAUAGGAUACUCUUGCUUUUAACCCUGAUGAUAUGAGAUAUUCUUGCUCUAGUAUAGCUUGUUUGCAGAGGUAUUAUCGGGGGGAAAGAAAGCUGAAUAUUUCGAAAGGCUUCGUUGGGAGUGCCCCUCUCAGAUAUGAUGAAGGGUUGAGCAUUUUUGCAGGUCUGCCUGUCCGUUGGGGAUGGAGGUCGACAUAUAUAGGAGUCUCCCUAACAACAAGUAGUAAUGCUAUUCCUUUACCCUGCUUGGUCAUAGCACGGUAGUGGGAGCUGCCAGUUUCACAUGUUUUAACUCUGUCAGAGCACUUUGAAAAAGUGGUCUGUGGUAUCUGGCUCUCGAGAUUCGGAGAACGAUGCCUCUUCGAUUUUUGAGAAAGCAAUCAUGCUGGGGGUCUGGCUCUCGAGAUUCGUAGAGCAGUGUCUCUUCGAUUUUUGAGGAAGUAAUCAUGUUGGGAGUCUGGCUCUCGAGAUUCGGAGGGCGGUGCCUCUUCGAUUUUGGAGCAAGCAAUCCUGUUGGGAGUGUUGUCUCGAAUGUGAGUAAAGGUUGGGCAUGUUUGCUAGUCUACCUUGCCACGAAGCACAAAGGUUGACACACAGGGACUUUCCAAUUAUCCAGCAAUGGUACUGUUCCUUUACCCUCUCUUCGUUUUUUGAGUAAGUAUUCAUGUUGGGAGUCUGGCUCUCGAGAUUCGGAGGACGGUGCCUCUUCGAUUUUGGAGCAAGCAAUCUUGUUGGGAGUGUUUUCUCGAAAGUGAGUAAAGGUUGGGCAUGUUUGCUAGUCUACCUUGCCACGAAGCACAGAGGUUGACACACAGGGACUUUCCAAUUAUCCAGCAGUGGUACUGUUCCUUUACCCUUGUGGGUAAUAAUAUGGUAGCUAGACCUUCAAAAUUUAUGUGUCUAAACUUUGUUAGUGCUGUUUCUUUGCUAUUCUUUUACCUUUCUUGGUCAGAGCGAUGUAGUGGGAGCUGCAAGCUUCACGUGCUCAACUUUGGCAGAGAACUUUGGCAAAGUUAUCUGUGGUACCCAUGAGCUAUUGUUGCGUGUGGGAAGUGGGUGAUUGAACAGUAAGAUUCAUGUGCUUUUUACUUCACCAGAAGUCUUCGACAGAAUGCCCAUAAUUUCUGCAAAGCUGAGUGUGUGUGUGAUAGGUGCUGACAAGGCUAGAAAAGUAGGUGCCUCUUCGAUUUCUGAGAUCGGCCCUCGUGGUUUCUGAGCAGCCCAGCUUUUGAGAAAGCGAGCGCCUCUUCGAUUGAUUCGGAGAACGAUGCCUCAUCGAUUUUUGAUAAAGCAAUCAUGCUGGGGGUCUGGCUCUCGAAGAUUCGGGGAGCAGUGUCUCUUCGAUUUUUGAGAAAGUAAUCACGUUGGGAGUCUGGCUCUCGAGAUUCGGAGGGCGGUGCCUCUUCGAUUUUGGAGCAAGCAAUCUUGUUGGGAGUGUUUUCUCGAAUGUGAGUAAAGGUUGGGCAUGUUUGCUAGUCUACCUUGCCACGAAGCACAGAGGUUGACACACAGGGACUUUCCAAUUAUCCAGCAAUGGUACUGUUCCUUUACCCUCUCUUCGAUUUUUAGGAAAGUAGUCAUGUUGGGACUCUGGCUCUCGAGAUUCGGAGGACGGUGCCUCUUCGAUUUUGGAGCAAGCAAUCUUAUUGGGAGUGUUUUCUCGAAUGUGAGUAAAGGUUGGGCAUGUUUGCUAGUCUACCUUGCCACGAAGCACAGAGGUUGACACACAGGGACUUUCCAAUUAUCCAGCAGUGGUACUGUUCCUUUACCCUUGUGGGUAAUAAUAUGGUAGCUAGACCUUCAAAAUUUAUGGGUCUAAACUUUGUUAGUGUUGUUUCUUUGCUAUUCUUUUACCCUUCUUGGUCAGAGCGAUGUAGUGGGAGCUGCAAGCUUCACGUGCUCAACUUUGGCAGAGAACUUUGGCAAAGUUAUCUGUGGUACCCAUGAGCUAUAUUGUUGCGUGUGGGGAAGUGAGUGAUUGAACAGUAAGAUUCAUGUGUUUUCUACUUCCCCAGAAGUCUUCGACAGAAUGCCCAUAAUUUCUGCAAAGCUGAGUGUGCGUGUGACGGGUGCUGACAAGGCUGGAAAAGUAGGUGCCUCUUCGAUUUCUGAGAUCGGCCCUCGUGGUCUCUGGGGAGCCCAGCUUUUGAGAAAGCGAGCGCCUCUUCGAUUUCUGAGAUCGGCCUUCGUGGUCUUUGAGCAGCCCAACUUUUGAGAAAGCAAACGCCUCUUCGAUUUCUGAGAUCAACCCUCGUGAUCUCUAAGCAGCCUAGCUUUUGAGAAAGCAAACGCCUCUUCGAUUUCUGAGCAGGCGCCUCUUCGAUUUCUGAAGCUCCGUCGAGUGCAGAUUUUUAUAGAGGCUGACAUUAAGUUCCAAAGCACACUUGAAUCUCCACCAGUAGAAGCUUCAUUCUUGCACUUCUAAGAUCUUGAUUUGUCCGACCUCUUCUCUCUUCAACACCUUUGAAAAUGUCUGGCCCCUCCGACCGUCAUUUUGACUUGAACCUUGUUGAAGAGGCAGCCCCGCCUUCUCCAGACAACAUAUGGCGCCCAUCCUUCGUCUCCCCUACUGGUCCUCUUACCGUUGGGGAUUCCGUGAUGAAGAAUGAUAUGACCGCUGCGGUGGUGGCCAGGAACCUUCUCACUCCCAAAGAUAACAGACUACUUUCCAAACGGUCUGAUGAGUUAGCUGUUAAGGAUUCGCUGGCUCUCAGUGUUCAGUGUGCAGGUUCUGUGUCUAAUAUGGCCCAACGCCUAUUUGCUCGAACCCGCCAAGUUGAAUCCUUGGCGGCUGAAGUGAUGAGUCUCAAACAGGAGAUUAGAGGGCUCAAGCAUGAGAAUAAACAGUUGCACCGGCUCGCACAUGACUAUGCUACAAACAUGAAGAGGAAGCUUGACCAGAUGAAGGAAACUGAUGGUCAGGUUUUACUUGAUCAUCAGAGAUUUGUGGGUUUGUUCCAAAGGCAUUUAUUGCCUUCGUCUUCUGGGGCUGUACCGCGUAAUGAAGCUCCGAAUGAUCAACCUCUGAUGCCUCCUCCUUCUAGGGUUCUGUCCAGUACUGAGGCUCCAAAUGAUCCCCCUCCGGUGCCUUUCUCUUUCUGGGGCUCUACCGACUGCUGAGACUUCUCCUAAGCAACCUUUGUGAAGGCUCCGUCUUUGUGUGUUUAUUUUGACUCAUGUAUAUGUACAUAUUUGUAGCUGAUCGGGGAUAUCAAUAAAUAAGCUUUCCUUCAUUUCAACGUAUUGUGUUAAAUACACCAAAGCCUUCUUCGCUAAGUUCUUUGAAUUUUCUUUUUGUUGAAGCUUGUAUGUUGAAGCUUUCUGAGUGGAGCAUGUAGGUUGGGGUAGUGUUCCCUUAAUUUCCCGAGUGAGGAAAACUUCUCGGUUGGAGACUUGGAAAAUCCAAGUCACUGAGUGGGAUCAGCUAUAUGAAUCUUAGAACGCCAUUGUGCUCGAUCCUGUGUCAUGUCCUUCAUUAGAUCCAAGUACUCUAAGUCUUUUCUUAGAGUCUCUUCCAAAGUUUUCCUAGGUCUUCCUCUACCCCUUCGGCCCUGAACCUCUGUCCCAUAGUCGCAUCUUCUAAUCGGAGCGUCAGCAGUAGGCCUUCUUUGCACAUGUCCAAACCACCGUAACCGAUUUUCUCUCAUCUUUCCUUCAAUUUCGGCUACUCCUACUUUACCCCGGAUAUCCUCAUUCCUAAUCUUAUCCUUUCUCGUGUGCCCACACAUCCAACGAAGCAUCCUCAUCUCCGCUACACCCAUUUUGUGUACGUGUUGAUGUUUCACCGCCCCAACAUUCUGUGCCAUACAGCAUCGCCGGCCUUAUUGCCGUCCUAUAAAAUUUUCCCUUGAGCUUCAAUGGCAUACGGCGGUCACACAACACGCCGGAUGCACUCUUCCACUUCAUCCAUCCAGCUUGUAUUCUAUGGUUGAGAUCUCCAUCUAAUUCUCCGUUCUUUUGCAAGAUAGAUCCUAGGUAACGAAAACGGUCGCUUUUUGGUAUUUCUUGAUCUCCGAUCCUCACCCCUAACUCGUUUUGGCCUCCAUUUGCACUGAACUUGCACUCCAUAUAUUCUGUCUUUGAUCGGCUUAGGCGAAGACCUUUAGAUUCCAACACUUCUCUCCAAAGGUUAAGCUUUGCAUUUACCCCUUCCUGAGUUUCAUCUAUCAACACUAUAUCGUCUGCGAAAAGCAUACACCAAGGAAUAUCAUCUUGAAUAUGUCCUGUUAACUCAUCCAUUACCAACGCAAAAAGGUAAGGACUUAAGGAUGAGCCUUGAUGUAAUCCUACAGUUAUGGGAAAGCUUUCGGUUUGUCCUUCAUGAGUUCUUACGGCAGUCUUUGCUCCUUCAUACAUAUCCUUUAUAGCUUGGAUAUAUGCUACUCGUACUCCUUUCUUCUCUAAAAUCCUCCAAAGAAUGUCUCUUGGGACCCUAUCAUACGCUUUUUCCAAAUCUAUAAAGACCAUGUGUAAAUCCUUUUUCCCAUCUCUAUAUCUUUCCAUCAAUCUUCGUAAGAGAUAGAUUGCCUCCAUGGUUGAGCGCCCUGGCAUGAACCCGAAUUGGUUGUCGAACGAAACCCGUGUCUCUUGCCUCAAUCUAUGCUCAAUGACUCUCUCCCAGAGCUUCAUUGUAUGACUCAUUAGCUUAAUACCCCUAUAGUUCAUGCAAUUUUGUACGUCGCCCUUAUUCUUGUAGAUAGGCACAAAGUGCAAAGUGCUCAUUUGGCAUCUUUCGUUUUCUUCGUUUUCAAAAUCCUAUUGAAAAGGUCAGUGAGCCAUGUUUAUACCUGUCUCUCCCAAAAGUUUCCACACUUCGAUUGGUAUAUUGUCUGGGCCUAUUGCUUUUUUAUGCUUCAUCUUCUUCAAAGCUACAACCACUUCUUCCUUCCGGAUUCGACGAUAAAAAGAGUAGUUUCUACACUCUUCUGAGUUACUUAACUCCCCUAAAGAAUCACUCAUUUCAUGUCCUUCAUUGAAAAGAUUAUGAAAAUAACCUCUCCAUCUGUCUUUAACCGCGUUCUCUGUAGCAAGAACCUUUCCAUCCUCAUCCUUGAUGCACCUCACUUGGUUUAGGUCCCUUGUCUUCUUUUCCCUUGCUCUAGAUAGUUUAUAGAUAUCCAACUCUCCUUCUUUGGUAUCUAGUCGUUUAUACAUAUCGUCGUAAGCCGCUAACUUAGCUUCUCUGACAGCUUUUUUCGCCUCUUGCUUCGCUUUUCUAUACCUUUCACCAUUUUCAUCGGUCCUCUCCUUGUAUAAGGCUUUACAACAUUCCUUCUUAGCCUUCACCUUUGUUUGUACCUCCUCAUUCCACCACCAAGAUUCCUUUUGGUGUGGGGCAAAGCCCUUGGACUCUCCUAAUACCUCUUUUGCUACUUUUCGGAUACAACUAGCCAUGGAAUCCCACAUUUGGCUAGCUUCCCCCUCUCUAUCCCACACACAUUGGGUGAUUACCUUCUCUUUGAAAAUGACUUGUUUUUCUUCUUUUAGAUUCCACCAUCUAGUCCUUGGGCACUUCCAAGUCUUGUUCUUUUGUCUUACUCUUUUGAUAUGUACAUCCAUCACCAACAAGCGAUGUUGAUUAGCCACGCUCUCUCCUGGUAUAACUUUGCAAUCCUUACAAGUUAUACGAUCCCCUUUCCUCAUUAGAAGAAAAUCUAUUUGUGUUUUUGACGACCCACUCUUGUAGGUGAUCACAUGUUCUUCUCUCUUCUUAAAGAAGGUGUUGGCUAAGAAAAGAUCAUAUGCCAUUGCAAAAUCCAAGAUAGCUUCCCCAUCCUCGUUUCUCUCCCCAAAACCAUGGCCACCAUGAAAACCUCCAUAGUUGCCUGCCUGUCUCCCUGCCCACGUGUCCAUUUAAAUCUCCUCCUAUAAAUAACUUCUCCGUCUGAGCAAUUCCUUGCACCAAGUCUCCAAGAUCUUCCCAAAAUUUUCUCCUUCGAACUCGUAUCCAACCCUACUUGAGGUGCGUACGCACUAAUCACAUUGAUAAGUUCUUGUCCUAUUACAAUCUUGAUUGCCAUGAUUCUAUCUCCUACCCUCUUGACAUCUACAACAUCUUGUACCAAGGUCUUGUCCACGAUGAUGCCAACACCGUUUCUCGUUCUAUUUGUGCCCGAAUACCAAAGUUUAAACCCUGAGUUUUCUAGAUCCUUUGCCUUACUACCAACCCACUUAGUUUCUUGUAGGCACAUAAUAUUUAUCCUUCUCCUCACCAUAACUUCCACUACUUCCAUAGAUUUUCCCGUUAAGGUUCCUAUAUUCCACGUUCCUAAACGCAUUUUGCUCUCUUGAACUCUACCCUUCUGUCCUAGCUUCUUCACCCUCCCCCGUCUAAUAGGAUCAAAAGUACUUCUUUUGUGUGUCCCGGGUAAAGUUGAUAGGAGCAUAUGCUCCCAAACAACUUUGAGUGGAGUCGUUCGAAAAGAAGUUUCUAUGGCCCCCUUGCUCAUUUAACACUGCAUCCGGGUGCCGAUGGAGAUACAGCGACCCUUGCUCACUUAUCACUGUGCUCAGGCUACACAGCGCGCCACUUACGGGUGACGCCCUAGCUUUAGCGCGAUUUUGUUCUGGAUUCAUUUUCAUAAGGAUUCGACGUGAUCAUGGAGUGCCGGCUGUCGACUACCUGACGCCCUCCCCCUCCUCCUUUAUCCGGGCUUGGGACCGGCCAUGUAAGACAUAGGCGGAGUUAGCCUAAUUAAUGAACACCUCAAAAAAAAAAAGGAGGAUGUUUGCCAAAGGCCCUCGAUGCUCAAUUCAAACAGAUGGUAUGAGAGAAACAAAGAAUUCGGAGUAGUAAGUGGCAGCUACCAUUUUUUCUGUUUGACUUGGCUAUUAAUAGACCUAAACCCUAGCAUGCAGCUGGGAGGGUGGGUGUAGGCCAUACCAGACAAACCUUAAUAUUUUGCUAGUGAUGGUGCAUACCAAUCUUCGCAAAGCGUAGAAGCGUUGGACACCCAAAGGAGAAAUCUGAAGAGUCGGCUUCCUGCCACCAUUGGCCCGGAUUUUGGGGUGGUGACAUGACAUAUUAUAUAUGGGCAUAAAGCACCUUUGAUAUGUUAGUGACCUGAAGGCCUUGUACCCCCACGGGAUAGACAAGUGCCAUGUUCUUUCGUGUGGGGCAGACGAUGCCACGUUAUCUGGAGUACUCUAUGGUCUGCUUACAAUGUUGAGGGUAACCAUUAAUAUAGCGAGUGUAAAGUCCCCAAGUCCUUUACUUAUUUGAUGUGGUUAAUUUAUGUCUUCACAUCAAUCAAUAUAUGAACCAGUUAAUCAUAUUUCCAACGAGUACUUCGUAAUUGGAUAGUUCAUUCUAAGAAUUAGUCUUAUCAAUAUUUAUCAUUUAAAUAUUGAAAGGCAUCCUAAGUUCGAAUAUCCUUUAUCUUGGUGAUAGAAAAAAAAGCCUGACAAGUCGUGAAGAAUAAUAAUGCAACACUCAAAAAUAGCAAGGAACAUUCGUUUACAAUGUGUGUUAGAAACGAGGACAAUUUAGAUGGCAAAAAGCCAUUUUGUUAAACACAAAACCACGAUCACUUAAAAUGCCAACCUAAGUAAUGUAGAAUGAAUUGUCAAGGAAAUCGAGUAAUGGCCAAACCACAUGGUCUAUAAAUUUACACAACAAGGCUUUGUCGUGUGACAAAAUACAGGAGACUCAAGAAAGUACACAUCUUGUGGACCGAACAUAUUUUCGUAGACAUGCGCGAAUAGGUUUGAUCAAUCAUUUAUAUGUGCAGUAGUGGCAAUGCAACUAGAGCGAUAUGCUUGUUUUCCAGGUUCUCCACCAACAUGUAUUCAACAUCUAAAGUUUAGAUGCUUGACUACCUUGUUUGUCUGCCCCGAACAACCAACAUGGCGUUGUUUUGUUUGAGUUAAAAUUUCGACCAACCACCGAGAGAGCAACAUUGAAAUAGGCAGCCUAACGUACAAGAACCACACCGGCACGCAACACCCAAUGUGUACGUUAAGAGUAAGACAAGGACCUGAUUUUGCUCGUGUGCCACAUUCCAACAUAUCCCAAUUUGAAAUGUUCACCCACAAAAAGAGGUACUCAGUCGAUCUAUUCAUGAAAACCUACUUUUUAGUCUCGAUCUUUGGCUUUGAAAAGAGCAACUUGCAAAACAACGUGUUCAUUAUGGCGUCCUAGUCUAAUAAACUUUACAUAACUAUGAAUUAUUUGACUUAAACGUCAUAGUAACAGUAAACUCGUUACAUGUAAAUCCUACUUUACUUUGAGACUACUAAACAUAAAAUGUAAGUCCUUAGCAGUAACUUUUACAAACUAAAACAUAUCACUCCAAAGUCUCCAAUCUUUGCUGACUACUCCAAAGUCUCGAGAAAUAAAAGCCUCACAGUUAUAUUUCACUUAUUUUCGAUAAGUUUCGUGCUUAACAUUUGUUUGUAUGUGAUGUCCUACAGUUACAUAUGCUCUCGACCCAAUAUAUUUUGAUCAAGCUCUCACCUUUUGUCGGCAUCUUUUAAUAAUUAUUCGAUAACAAAUAGAUGACUAACUUCCCUUUCGACUGAUUGAUAAAUGUAAAUUGUAAGUUGGAAGCUCCAUUCACUUUGAUCAACCACAUUAUGUUGAAGGAUACAUCAUACACGUGAGAGUGGAAGGAACUAUUCUCUAUCCAAAUGUUAACUCGUAAUUGAUCAACUUGUAUAUUCUGACAAAGACUGACAUAACAAAUCUAAUAAAUCAAACAUUAGGGGUCAUAAUAUUGGACACUACGCGUUCUCUAAUUUGAAUACUUGUUUAUUUUGUGUACACGCGAAACUUUGGUUUAUUUUGUUUUGUCAUCCUUCUCUGUAUUCAAUUACUAGGUGGAGCCCAGCUUAUGUCUGUAAAUAUAAGAAGGAUAAUACUUGAAUUUCCUCAAAUAUCUCGACUCAUACAAUAACGUAAUUUCUUCGAAUAAAUUUUAUAUGUUCGAGUUUUUUUUUUUUAUCUUCACUUGAAGAUUAUUAUUACAAAAAAAAUUAUUCGAAUCAGGUAUUGUUUGGUCAUCUAAAUGUGCUAAUGGACUUUUCAUCAAAAAUCUAUUACUUGGUACUCAUACCGUUGAUUUGUUUUAUACAUUUGAUGGUAUAAACGGUAAUGGUUUUGAAAGAUAUUUUGUAGGGAUAAAUUUCAUAUAAAGAUUAAGAAAUUGACUGGUUCUAAUUAUAAAACUUCUACGGUAAAGUCAUGUUAUUAGCAAGGGGUGAGAUAUGUGCACUCUCCCAUACGGGUGCAAGUAUUAUCCUAAAAAAAAGGGCUGAAAAUGGAUGUUAUGAGAGAAAAAUUAAAAUGUGGGGGAGAAAAGGUUUAUGAGUAAAAUAAAGAUAAUUACUAUCUUGCCCUUAAAUUUAUAUUUGUUAUUUAAGUUAAUAAGUAUUGAAAAUGAAUCUCACGUUAUUGAGGAAAUGGACCUUGCAUGUGCUUAUAAGAGCUUGGAUUAUUCCCUAUAUUGUGAAUUGAUUUUAUUAUGAAACCUCAACUUUCUUCAAUAAGUAUGAAACUGAUAUAUAGUACUUUCUGCAAAUAUGAUUUUAGCCCUUGAAACUCAAGUUUCUUUACAUAAAACCCGACAUAGUCUUUUUACUUGAAUAAAACCCAAUGACUAGGCUCCACAUAAGCAAAUUCAUUAAUUAUGUUUGACUUUACACAUUUUGCAUCUUUCAGAUGCCUAAAAUACCCUUAAUUACAAUUUUAAUGUAUACAUUUAAUUCUAUGCAGAUUUGAAGGGAGGGAUUAAUGAAAAAAAAUGUAUUAAUGUUUAAAUUCAUUGUAUAUUAAUAUAUCAUAACAAAUUGUAUGUUAAUGCUUCUGGCAAAAAAUAAAUAAACAUUAAUGUUAUACUUUCCUUUAAAUAAAUAAAUAAAUAACAAUUUUAACUUAAUCUUGUCAUUUUCUUACCAAAUGGAAACUGAAAGAGAACUAUGGAGUAAUUUACAUAAAAACAUAGGUAAAUUAUUUGGACAUAUGUGUUAGUAAUAAAAUAUUCCCAGUAUAUGUAAUAAUACAUGCAAAAUAAUUUAUCUACAAAAUAAAAAAAAUGUUAUUUGAUUCAAUAUUAAUUUAUCUACAUUUGAUAUAAUAAAGUAUAAUUGCACAUAUAUAUUACUCAAAUGUGCCCAAUAUAUGUAAUAAUGCAUGUAAAAUUAUUUACCUACAAAAUAAAGGUAUGUAAGUUGAUUAAAAAAAUAUAUAUAUCUACUACCUUUUUUUUAUGAAUUUUAAUUUACCUUUUUUUUUUGUACAAAUGUAAUGUACCUACAAUAUAUAAUUCCUACUAAAACUAAUAUAUAUUUGCACACACACACACACAUAUAUAUAUAUAUAUAUAUAUAUAUAUAUAUAUAUAUAUAUAUAUAUUAGUACUAAAAUGUGCCCGGUAUAUGUAACAAUGCUUUAAAAAAAUUAUCUACAAAAUAAAGGAAUGUAAUUUGAUUGAAAAUAUAAUAUAUGUACUACUUUUUGUUUAUAAAUUUCAAUUUUUCUUUAAAAAAAAACAUAUUGUACCUACAAUAUAAUUUACCUAUUAUUUAAUUCUUAUAAAAAAUUAAUUUACUUAUACUUUACAUAUAAAUAUAGAUAAAUAUUUUUGACACGCAUAUAUAAUAACAAAUCAAAAUGGCUAAUGUAUGUAAUAAUCUGUGUAAAAUAAUUUACCUACAAAAUAAAAGAAUGUUAAUUGAUUCUUGUUUUUUUUUUAUCAAACAAUAUUAUUUGAUGCAAAAUAACUGAUUAUACAAAGGAUCCUUUUUUUUAGACAAAAAAUAUGCCUAUAAUUGUUUAUGAAUAUGGGUAAAUUAAUAUAUAUAUAUAUAUAUAUAUAUAUAUAUAUGUUAAUAAUAUUUAUGAAACAAAAAGGUAAAAUUUUCAUAUGGGGUUAAUUGCUAAUCAUAAUUAGGGUGAGUAAUAAUAUUUAUUAACAUAAUUAGGGUUUUGUGGCAUAAUUUGUAAAUAUGUUGUAAUAAUUGGUUAUAUAUUUAUCUACAUGGUAGUCUAUUUGAAAUUUGGGUUUUAUUUGAAUGUUUAAUAUUAAUUGGGUUUUUGUUUGAAAAAUAGGAAUUUCAAGGACCUUUCUCUAAAGAACCCUAGUACUUUUCACACAAUGAGGGUUUUGAUAAAACUAGUAUAGAUAAAACAUACAUAUUAAAGGAAGGAGUGCAAAUAAAGAAAAUAAAAGUGAAAAUCACGAUAUUCUUUUUUAUUUGUAAAUAAAAGGUCUUAAAUUUAGAUCUCAUGGAUGAUGAGUUUGAAACUAAUCUAUUUCCCAGUUCUUCAUAAAAACAAAUUGGAUUUUGAGUCAAGAUGACAACCUUUCAAGGCAAUUUUUACUUCACCAGAGUGGAUGUUAUCAAUAAAACUAUUUGGACAUGCCCCUUUUUUAUCCAAAAUAAAGAAUUUUUUUUAAUACAUCGAUAUUUUUACAUUAGGGAGAUUGAUGAAUUCGGCUAAGUCAUACAAUUGGAAACUUAAUUUGGUUUCGAAUUCUUCAUUCACAAGAUUCGAACUCAAGACUUCUUACUUCUAAAUAAAGAUAAAUAUUAUCAGACCGUAAUACUGAAUGACAAAAUAAAGAUAUUAAAUAUUUGGAUAGUUUGAAAAGGAGCACGCCAAUGGGGUCAUUUUUCAAGCAUGACUAGAAGGAUCGUGACCGAUCUUUUGUUAUUAGGGAAUAGGGAGAAAGGUAGCUUCAUGUCGGGAGUCGUGGUGGCUCUUUGAUGUUUGAGGAUGCAAAUGUAAUUUUACUACAAUGAGGGGUUUUUUUCUUCAAUAUAAUCUUUAUCGGUUGGGAAAAAAAUUAUUCAGACAUAUAAAAUUAGAGAACUUUAACGAAAUACUUUCAGUAUUGUUCAUUUUAACCAAAAAUAACAUUUUAACUCUAAAAAGUCAAUCUUGAUACUAUUCACUUACAACAUCUUUUUGUCAUUUUCAUUAAAAAUCUAAGUUUUCAAGCUUUUUUUUAUUAUUUUUCCUAUAAAAUUAAUGUAAUUGUUGAUAUACAUUUUAAUACAUAGAGAUCUUAUCAUUAUAAGUAAGUUUUAUCUGUAUUAUCAUAACCUGUAUCGACAAAUAUAUUAAUUUUGUAUGUCUAAAAAUAGCACUUGAAUAAUCCGAUGAGGAUUUUCUAACACAUGACACCCAGAGGCUGAUGCUUUUGUUAUAAUAUAUCUUCCUUUGGUCAACAUAUAUGCAUUUAAUAUAAUUUUAUGAAAAGUGUCUCUCACCAAAUUUUAUUCUUUAUUUUUUGUAGUUUAAAAAUUGUCAUUUAAACAGACACGGCAACAAAUAUUAAAUGACUCUAGGAUAUGUGUGUGUGUGUCUAUAUUUUCUUAUACAUAGGCAAUAGCGAUUUCAGGAUUUAAAUAUCGGGUAAUCCCAUUAAAAAGAUAAUAAAUGAAAAUAUAUUGAAAAAUUCAACAAUAAACUACCAAUUUUUCAUUCAUAAUUUUUGUACAAACAACAUUACAAGCUACAAACACUAAAUUUAUCAACGACAAGGUUAAUUACUCUGAAAUCAUGUCAUGAUAGUUUCAUUAUUAAUACAAUGAAAAUCUUCUUACUCAAUGAGAACAACUGAACUAUCUUUAACCAUUGGGUCCUCCAUUUUCUUGCGGAAUGAACACUUGAUGAUAUUCAUGGUGAAAAAUGUUAUCACCACUGAAGUAGUUAAAUCGGUAAAACCAAAAUCAAUUCAGUAAGUAAAUAUAAAUACUGUCUGUUAUUUUUUUAGCAAGAUCACUAAUCCCUUUGCAAUUGGGAAAAUUCAAUUCUCAAACGCAUAAAAUGAAUAUAAAUAUCAAGUUGAUCUUUAAGUGAAGAUAAGUCUUGGUCCGUAAAAUCUUGAGAAUACAAUUAAGCAAGACAAAAUAGCUUUUCUUUGUCAAAAGCUACAAAAAUAAUCAUUUUGAACUCAAACUAGUAAAAAAAAAUGAGCAAUUUGGUACUUAUAACAUCUACAGACCUUUGAAAAAGGCAUGAAAAUAUAUAUUAUUAACCAUGCAUUUCAACUAUUCAAGUUUAAUUCAACGAUUAAGAAAGAAGCAUAUAGUUUAAUAUAUUUUUGUUAUGCUAAUGAAAAAAUUUAAAUGAUUAUUGCAUAAAAAAGGAGGGAUCUUUUAGUUUAAUUGACACACCUCGACUCGAAAUGUCCACUAGUAUUCUGAAUCGAGCUAUGUUGGCCAACACCUGGAAGGUGACGAAACCAUAAAGUGUAGUGAUGUGGAAAAAUAUGAGAAUUUAAACCUAAAAGUGCCUAAGUAUAAGAGUGUGUUGUGAGUGGGAAUGAACUCAUUUCACACGUGAUGUCAAAGCAUAAGUACAGUAAAAUAGGAUAGGGUGAGAAUUAUACCAUCAAAGGUAAUUGUCUACACCAAGAUUUGCCAAGAAUCCUCGUCGAUAAGAAAGCUCAGCUACUAAAACUUGGAAGGGCGAAAAAUAAGAGUGAGUGGGCCUGAAAGUAAAGUUUUAUAAAAAUCUUUCUGAAAACAUUGUAACCCCUCGCCGUAAAACAAGUAUAGUUUCCAAAAUAUACUUACUACGUAUAGUAUAAAAAUACUUCCCGUAGCCUUCAAAAUCUCAAGAAUUCAUUACGGCACAAUAUCUCGUAACUAAGGGCAGAAUAUCCAAAAUCACAAAAUCUCAACAGUAAUAUAAGUAAAAUUAGGUGCUCAAACAAUCUAUGCUAGCACAUAAGUCGGAGUCGCCUAAUGCGACCUAUAUGACUGAACUGAUGCUUAUCAAUCUAUGCUAGCACACGAGUCGGAGUUGCGUAAUGCAACCUAUACGACAGGACUGGGUGUAAUCAUAAUAUCUACUUUAGUGCUACAAUCACGUGAAGACUGACGUUAUUCAUGGUCACCUACGAGUUAGAGUUGCCAAAUGCAAUAUGUACGACAGGACAUGCACCUACGUGGAUCCAGGACGAGCGUGCAGUGCGGAGGUGAACAUACACGUGAAAGACUGGCCCUGACCCUAGGCGAGCACUAACACCGGGGUGCAACAAUGAUGAGCAGACUACACAUAUAUAAGCAUGCCAUAACAAUUCAAUAAUUUUAGUCAACAUAAUAAACUUACCUGCGCAUCCUGUAGGAUUUAGCAUAUUUCAUAAAUUCCGUCAUUUCGCUAAUUCUAAUCAACUUUAGUCUAAUCCAGACGUAUGUAAGAAAUUCUUUUUCAAUGCAUAAAUGGAAACUAUCAAUUAUAUAUAUAUAUAUACACACACACACACACUAUAAAAAGGAAAAGACUCACUCACCUCAAGUCUGCGCUACAACUCCUUAGCAUAAAUAUCGAGGCAUCACGAACAAUCGUCGCCUAGAAUAAUUAUCAAAUAAUGUCUCAGAAUUCUUAUCGAUAGAACAUGUAACUUACAUAAAAACACAUCCCUAAGGACGUUCUAGAAUGAUUUGUAACCCAUUGACCAAAAAUCAACCGUUGGUCAAAGGUCGACGGUAGGGUCCACAACCCUACAUAACUCAAUUCGAAAGAUCCGUAUGUCGGAUUUCCAAACCAAAACUUCCUAAGGGUUUCAAUAAGCUUCUAGAACAACAUCAUAAAGUUUCGGAACAAUUCAACGGUCGGAUCUUCGCCAAUAGCUAAAAUUAAGUGGCGGUCAACGUUUUAUUUUAUGAACUUACAAAUCCAAUUCAAGAAGAUCCGUACGUAGGAUUCCCGAUCCGUAAGUUCCUAAUGUCCUCCCAUUGGAUCAUCAAUUGCUAUAAUAUUCAAGUCGCAGACCUUAAUGAAGUUAUACCCAAACAAUGGAAUUCCGUCAAUCAGAUGUCAAAUAUGGAAUCAGGGCAUCCAAAUUAGCCUAGGAUAGGCAGGUCGGGUCUUAACCCACGCACCGCCGCCCCGACUCACUAGAAAAAUUAACUAUUUUAAAAAAUUACCAAAUUUUAUAGAAAUGAAGAUCACAAUGAGUAGAUCAAGUUUUAUACCUGUGGCCAAGUCCAAUUUGAUCGGCAAAAGCUCCAAUUUCCCUCGAACUCACUGGAAACCCUAGAAAUGGGUGGCUUUGAUCUGUCACCUUCGAUGCUCCACCACCCUUAUAGUUGUUUGGGCUUUGUUCUAGGCCUCAAGGGGUGUCUAAUGGUGGUGGUGAUUGACAUGAUACCAUUCAGAAAUGGUGGGAUUUGUCGUCGUGGAUUUCGGGAAGAACAUGUUCGUUCCUCGAGUUUCCUUUGAGAAAUAACAUAAAAACUCGUCGAUACUUAGGUGGAAAUUGCAGGAGGGAUGAUGAGAAGACGUUUACAGGUGGUGGCGAACUUCAUCUUGUCGGAAAAUCGCCUGAAUUCGAGGUUGUUACUGUUGGGUCAACAAUCGGGUCACGCGGGUUAUUCUCCGACCUGACCCGCUGGCUCCCUCAUUUUCUUUCUCUCAUUUUUCUCCUUUCUCUCCUCCCUGAUUGGUCCAUCCCCCUUAUGUUCUCUUAUUCGUCCCACUUCCCUAAUCGACAAGGCUCUCUUCUCCUCCUUUUGGUCAUUCUCCGCCACCUCAUCUUUUCUUCUUUCUCUUCUAAUAUAUAUAAAAAAUAAUAUAAUAAUUUUGAAAAAUAUAUAAAAUAAUAAAUAGUAAUCUUUACAAAAGUACUUUUCGGAUUUGUAGUUCUGUAAAAACUUCGUCGUAACCCUAGCUUCGAUUUUGUUUACGCCUACACAUUCGUACUGUCAAGUACUUUGAGUAUACGGUAAAGUGAUAGCCCAUACACAUCACGAAUAACGGUCAACGAAAGUCAACGAUCUCGCCUCUAGUGACAUUUUCAUAAAUUCACUCUUUUGAAAUUUAUAAAAUUGUAAAAUUAGGGACGAGUCGUCACAUUAAUACCAAUUCUGAAAAAGUUUUAGCUAAAAUAUCAUAACUUUAGUUUAGGUACCAAUAAUAAAGUAAACCAAAAUAAAUUUAUAAAUAUUAUUCUAAUUCAACAUAAUUACAUGAUUUUCACUCAAUCCUACCAUAUUUUAUGACUGCCAAUUUUUUCUAGCGUUCGAGCAAUCAAAUUUUUUGGUAAUUGACUGAUCAAAUUUUGCGAUCUCAAGGUUAGUGUCAAAGAAUGACUUUUUAAAAAAAAAAGUAAUUCUCUAAUUUUAUUGUAUAUACACGUUAAAAUACAAUAAACUCAUGCAACACAUAUAAUUAAAAAUGAAAAAGUUGAAUCUAUUGCUAUUUUAUCAUUGUUGAAAAAUGACAUAAUGGGGGCAAAAAUGUAAAUACAUUUAUGCUUAUGAUGUCUUCGCCUACAAAUUCCGGCCUAAUUAAAGAACUAGUCUCUUUCCACACAUCUCCGUGUGGCAAUUUGCUCUUUUACAUCUUAUUCUUUACUUGUAAUUUUUUUUUGUUUAAAAUAUUUUUUAUUUUCAAAAAUUACAAAAAUAAAGAAAAAUACUGCCCAGAACAUGGGUAGUUUUAUUAUGUUAGUUUGGAUAUUUUUAAAAUUAAAUUGAUUUUAAAAUUUUAAUUAAGGAGGGUUAAUUUUGAAAUUAUGAAUGUUUCACUGUUUUUUUUUGUCUUCGCCUUAUAAAUGUAGAUGAGUUGGGCUUGGUAAUUUUGCUUAAAAUUGGUAUUUAACUGAAUUUUCUCGUUGAAUUAAGCAAUAUUCUUUAUCUUAUUUUGUUUCUACUAGCCUCUUGGAACACGGAAAUUGGCCUCUUUAUAUUAAAUUGUCUUUUAGAUUUUUUAUUUGAAUAAUUGAUUUAUAUUUUUUCUAUUAAAAUUUAUUCAAAAAAGAAAAUGAAGGAAAGCCAUGAAACUACUAUUUUGUCCCUCAUUAGUUGGAUGAUAAUGUUUUGAAUUUUUAAUUAGUGGACUUUAUAUAUAAAAAAUAAAAAAUUAACAUCAGAUUUUUCUAUGUGGAACAGUCUAGUAAAAAGUGAAAUGUUCCAUAAAUAAAACCUAGUAAUAAAAUUAGAAUACAAUUCAUAAUUUAACCUCAUGAUUUCUUCCUAUUCAAAAAUUGCAAACAUAACCCUUCGAUUGUGUGGUAAUUUUAUCUACACAAAUCUAUAUCAAGUUAAUUGCUAUUUAGUUUAUGGGGCAUUUUUGUGUGCUUCUUUUUUGCUUAAGUGGAUGAAAAGUAGAUGUCACAUAUGCUAUUUAAUUCGAAAAAUGAUUUUAUUUAUUUCCCGUAGAAUAUGUGUAAAUCAACGUGUGUUAUGUAGUCUUCGUGCAAACUAACUAAAUACACCAUGAGAAAAAGAACUCUUUCAUUUUGGUUCAUACGUAUUCUAAUAUUGGCUCGUUUGAAAGUACUUUUAAAAUAAUUAAAAACACUUUUAGAGAAAAUACUUUGGAGUUCUAAAGAAUAUUUUCACUAAAAACAUUUAGGGUUCCAAAAGCACUUGAAGUGCUUAUCCAAGAUUCAUUUGUAUUUUUACUAAGGCUUGGAUCCAAAAACAUUUUCACCAAAAGCUUUUCAGUCAUUUUAAAAGCACUUCCAAACGAGUCUAUAUAUCUAAGCUACCUAUUUACAAAAUCUUUUUUGUCAGCCAAAAGAGGGUGUAAAAAUAAUUUAGUCUUAUAUCAUAAAAAUAAAAUCAUGAACAACAACGUAAUUUUGCAAAAACAAUUUUUUUUAAAAUUCUUUUACUUUCCUCACUAACAUGUCAUCAUAACAUAUCUCUAAUUUUAAAAAUAUAAAUAUAAACUUCUCCCAACUGUCACUCCCUCUCUUUUUUGUAUUUCCCUUUAACUUCUCUAUGUCCCAUAUACUUUAAAAGAAAACUGAAAAAGAAAAGUUUCUGCUUCACACACAAAGUGUGUAGGCUUAGGCUAGUUUCACAUUAAUUAAUUUUAGUACAACAAUAUAUUUAUAGGGGUAAGAGGAUUGGAACUAAAUCACACAAUAGGAUUGCCAUAUUAAUUUAGUAUCUCAUAAUUCAUGAGAUUUGAACCUAAUAUAUUUUACUUAUAAGUGGAAAAAAUAACACGAAACAAUAAUACGGCGCCAUAUCAAGUUAAACUACUCAAAUAUGACAUGGAUAGUGCUACUCACACACCCAUUUUACCACACACACUUCUUUGUUAAUUUUUGGUUAUUGAUAUUCUUUAAUUCAUUCGAUUUUACGACUAAAAGUUGAGAGAAGUGUGUGAGAAAUAAAAACAGGUGUGAGGAUAAUACUACCCAUAUGACCAAUUAACUUUUUUUAUUCUUUCCAAAGAAUAAGUCUUAUUAAAUUAUAAUUAAAAUGUUUAAAUCUUCAGUUAAAAUAUUAAAAAAAUAUUCUGGACCAAUACGAUCCCAGCUAAAAGAACCUGUAGUUUUAUGGAUAAAUGUUUUACAAGUGCCUAUGCCCUAUCAACAUGGUUAAACAUCUAUGCAGCUUACAGCUCUCAUUUUUUUGGAUUUAUUUCCUCAUGUAGCUUUGGUUUUGGAUAUUAUUCUUCCUUUUUUUGACAGUUUUGGAUAUUAGCUUGGUUUUAUAAAACUCAAUUAUUGAAAAAAAGGGUUUUGUAAUUUCUGACGUGACGUGGAAAAUACCGCUGACCCACUGAGAAAAUGGAAGUUAGUAUUUAAAUGAAAAACAAUGAAGUACGUGGCAUCACCUAAUAGCUGCCGCUCCUCUCUCUCUCUCUGCUCUUUUGGAUCGUUCUUCCUCUCUCUCUCUCUCUCUCUCUCUCUCUCCUGUGUUUCUCUGAAAUGUUAAUUUAUAAAUUCUCCUUUCUUCUCUGAUCUCUCUCUCUCUCUGUCUUCCUUUUUUCUCUCUCUGCGUCUUCAACAUUUCUCUCGUUCACUCACAUUUGCCUGAAGUUUAGGGUUUUGUUACAGACGAAAUUCUCCCUAUUCACCCCUCGCUCUCUCUCUAACAUACACCCAGUGAGAUUAGGAAACCAAAACAUUGAAGCUUCAGAGGUACGUCUUCUUCUUCUUCUUCUUCUUCUUCAAACCAAUCAAAAUUCCAACAUUCCCGCGAUUUCUCACAGGGCGAUCUAUUUUGCCUCCGAUUUUCUGAAUUGGGUAUUUGUAAUUUUGUUUUUAGGGGUGUGCGUUUGCGACCUAUGAAUGAGUUUUGAUUUUGAUUUAGGUCGGUGCUUACUGUUUCUUCGAUUGUGUAUUUUCUAUAUACGGAGUCAAUUUGGGGGUUUGAUUCUGGAUUGCUAUAGAAUUAGAAUGUGAAUGUUGGUUAAGUUGCAAACUUUUUAUUUAUUUAUUUAUUUAAUAUGUUAGUUUUGACUUUUGGGGUUGGAAAUGGAGUGUUAAGGUGUAGGUGAGUGGUGGGAAUGGAAUAGAGGGGGUAGAGGUUGGUGCUUGGGUGCCCUAGUGUCGCAUUUGAUAGGCUAGUGAUGACGGAUUUUGAGCCGUUACAACAGAAGCCGGAAUCUGCUGAUGCCUGUGCCGAUUUUGAGCGUGGAUUUGAGGAAUUCAUGCGGGGGCACUUGGAUGAAUGUAUGUCAUUUGCAUCAUGUAGUUCUCCUCGUAAUCCUGAUGAUGAAGAUGACGAGGGUGAGCAGCUUGUGCGGAGGAGACGGAGGUUGGAUCUGGAGGGUGAUGAUUUAGCAGAGUCAUCUGCUGCACGGCGACACCACUCGCGGAUUCUGAGCCGUUGGGCUGCGCAGCAGGCGCAGGAAAUGAUAACAACGAUUGAGAGGAGGAAUCGUGAAUCAGAGUUGAUGGCACUUGCAGGCCUGCACACGGUUUCGAUGCUUGACUCCUCGUUCUUGAGGGAGUCACAGUCUCCUACCUCAAGGCGGCAGGGGGCUGUUGAGAGGCCAAGUACUCAGGCAUCAGCAAUAUUGCAAAUGUGGAGGGAAUUAGAGGAUGAGCAUGUGUUGAAUAGAGCGCGUGAAAGAGUGAGGGAAAGGUUGAGGCAUAGGAGGAGUGUUGAGUCUAAUACUAAUGACUCGACCACAAAUAUGUCUGAUAGUCGGGGGAGUGAGAAUCAGGGUAGUUUGGCGGAUGCAAGUGAGAGUGAGAAUGAGUUUGGAACUUGGUCACAUGAUCAAAUAGGUUCACAACGUGAACACGGUGCCAAUGACGUGUCUAGUAGAGAGCAAUCUCCUGAUCUUGGUGAAGUGGAGAGGGAGAGAGUGAGUCAGAUUGUACGGGGAUGGAUGGAAACUGGCAUUGGUGAUCGUUCAUCCAAUGUUGCUCAGAGAAACACUAGUCCCAGAGCAGAGUGGCUUGGUGAGACAGAGCGUGAAAGGGUGAGAAUUGUUCGUGAGUGGGUGCAAAUGGCAAGUCAGCAAAGAGGAGCUCGUGGGGGCCAGAGGGAUGAUCAAGUUGCCAGUGGUGGUGCUCAAGUUGAUCGAGCUCGUGACGGGACGGUUGCUGACCAUGAAGAAGGCCAACCAGACCACAUUCGCAGGGACAUGCGGAGAUUUCGUGGAAGACAAGCUCUAAUUGAUUUGCUUGUAAGAAUUGAGAGGGAACGACAAAGGGAGCUCGAUUGUUUGGUGGAGCAUCGGGCUGUCUCUGAUUUUGCUCAUCGAAACCGCAUUCAGGUCAGUUGUCUCAUGAAGAUUGUUUAAUAAUGUCAUUUUAAACAUAAUUCAAUUUGCUCCAGUGGUGUGGUUGAUAUUUAAAAAUUGUCUUUAUCAAUGAAUGUGAUUUCUAUGAUUGUAGUUUACAGGAUUUUCUAGAAUACUUAAAGUUUGUGCUCAGUAAUUUGUCUGGCUUCUUUAGAAGAUCAAAAUAACUGGGUACAAUUGUUGUCAUUUGAGUUGCAGAUUAAGUCCGCAUAUUAUGUUUAUGAUCCCAUUUUCUAUGAUGAAUUAUUUUUUAUGUUUAUGAUCCCAUUUUCUAUGAUGAAUUAUUUUUUCUGGUCCUAUUUGUAUCCUUGUAUUAGUGGAUAAGGAUGAGCCAGAGGCCCAGAACUUAUGUUUCAAAAUGGAAUGAGUUUUCUUCUUUCUCUGAUAUACCUUGCUUCUGUCUCAGUGGGAGAUAUGGGCUUAUUCUUAAGUGUAUCAUUUUGGGUGCUAUAUCCGGUUGCAAAGAUACCAUUGUAUUCACUUGGCUUGCUCCCAAAUUAGAAUGUACACCCUGCAGCAUACAUUUCCAAAUUAGAAUGUACACCCUGCAGCAUACAUUCGCUUAUCCGAAAUUGUAUUGCUAUAAGGUGCAUGAUGAUGUUAUGUUAAUAUGAGAAGAAUAGCUAUUAGUUAUCCCCUAUCUUUUCCCCCUUUUCGUAUUCAUGCAUAUUUGUAAGGUGUUGUUUCCUAUUUAUGCCAGUUCUCAUCACCAUCGUCUAUAACAUAGACAUACUACAAGUUGCAUUGAUGAUAUCCCAACAUAAUGGAAUUGUGUAUUUCUUUCUGGCUCUGCUACCCAAAAAUUUCCCUUUAUGACACUGUAGAGAUUAAGUUUCCUGCAUAAAUGGGCAUGAUUUGGCUACUAAUAUAAUUAAACAUUUCCAGUCAUUACUCAGAGGUAGAUUCCUGCGCAAUGAAAGACCUGUUGAAGAAGAAAGACCACCUUCCAUGGCUGCUGGUGAAUUAGUCCAGUUGAGACAGCGACACACUGUUUCUGGUUUAAGGUAUGUGAUGUUUUUAGUCAUGCCGUACGUCUUAAGAUGCCAAAUUUUUUCAUCACUUCCUUUUUUUGUUCUUGUACUUAACAUUGGUAUUUAUUUACGUUUAUUAUUUUGUGUAGACUCUUAGUAGUUCUGAUUUUGAAAAGCUAUCUAUUUAAUGAGAAAAAUCUAAGGGAACAUAGCAUACUUUAUGUUUUUCAUCACUUCCUUUUUUUGUUCUUGUACUUAAUGUUGGUAUUUUUUUUACGUUUAUUAUUUUGUUUAGACUCUUAGUAGUUCUGAUUUUGAAAAGCUAUCUAUUUAAUGAGAAAAAUCUAAGGGAACAUAGCAUACUUUAUGUUGUCUUGAAGGAACACAUUUAUCAUCUCUUUGUCAUUUCUCUCUAGUUUUGUUGUUGAAUCAAUUUACUACAUUAUAUGAAUAAUUUGGUUGAGGUUAGAGAAUUCCUUUGUGAACACAUUUAUUUAUUAGUAUUUGUAGGAGAUUGUCCUUUAAGUCUACUGUGCUGCGUAGAAGCAUUACUAGUGAUGGGUUUGUGGGGGUGGGGGAGAAGCACAAGAUUUCUAGAUGGAUGGCCAUUACUUUAAGCAUCCGUUUUUUCUCUGGGUUUCAAAUAGAACAGAUAAAGUCUUAUAGACGAAUAAAUAUGCAUCAGUAUUACAUAUUAAUGAGUGGCUAUGCUAUAAGGCUUGCAAUUGCUUUAUAAUAUUUCUUCCUGGGAUAAUAAUAAAAAUACAGAAUAAAUAUGAGAUACUCGUUUGAUUUGCCUUACUCUUGAUUUUACUUUGGUUUACUUUAUCGUUUGGGUUUUAAUGCUCCAGUUAUAUCUUUUGAGUAUUUUUUAUUCCAUUAAGUGAAUGUUGAUAAUUUUUUGUUGAAAGACAAACAAGAGUUGUGGAUGUUAGUUGUUUGCAUAAUGACAAGUUUGUUUCCUUGUUAGGGAAGGGUUCCGCUACAGAUUAGAAAAUAUUGUUCGUGGUCAGGUUGGCAGCCAAACCGAUUCUACGAUUAACAGUAAUAUUAAUGAAUCUAGAAGUGAGCAUACUCAAACAAAUGCUUCACAGGAUGUCCAACAGGAAAGUAAUGAUCAAUUGCAGCCUGGUAGUCAGGCAACUGACAUCAAUCAGUUGCCUGAUCAAAUGGGAAGCUUGGAGAGCAACACUACUGAUGAGCGUCAAGAUUGGCAAGAAACUGCUAAUCAAGGAGGGAAUUGGCAGGAACCAGUUGUUGAAGAUGAGACACGAAACUUGGAGCAGCCAACUUUCGGUCAGUUGAAUGAAUGGAGAAAUGGUAAUGCCGAAGAUACGGCUGAAAAUUGGCCAGGAAAUUCAGUCAAUAAUUGGCCUGAGGAAACACCCAGAAAUGUUGAUGGAGAAGCAGAUCAUCGACAAGAAGCCCAGGGAAUUUGGCAUGAGAAUGGUACUCGGGAUGCUGUUGGAAAUUGGACCGAAGGGCCUUCUGGUCCCAUGAGAAAUCGCCGUUCAGUUCCAAUUAGAAGAUUCAAUAGAUUUCAUCCGCCAGAGGAUGAUAAUGUGUACAGCAUGGAACUCAGGGAACUUCUGAGCAGGUAUUUGAUUCUUGUAGAUUGAUUAUAUGUACAACAUAAACUUAUUAUUUGGUUCUUUUUAUGAUGGUUAUGAUUUUCUAUAUUGUAGGAGAAGUGUCUCUAAUCUUCUUCGGAGUGGGUUCCGUGAAAGUCUGGACCAACUGAUUCAGUCAUAUGUUGAAAGGCAAAGUCAUGCUCCCAUUGAUUGGGAUUUGCAUAGAAACUUGCCAACACCAAUUCCAGCUUCACCAGAGCAUGAUCAGGAGCAACAGCGGGAUGGGCAGAAUGAAGAUCAACACGAUGCCAUUAACAGACCUUCACUUGUUCUACCAUCUCCACCAGUGCCCCCACCACAGCCAUUAUGGCACCAGGACCUACAUCACACAGGCUGGUCUCGUCAUAGCAUGCAUCGUUCAGAAAUUGUGAGCAAUCUUCUCUCUUAAUGCAGCUUUUUUCAGGCUUUCCGAUCUUUCUCUCAAAAUUUUAGAUGUGGCUUACUAUACAUAAUCGCGAUAUUCUAUGAUUGUGGCUUUUAAGGUUUUAUACCAGGUUAAUAAAUAUAAUAUAUUAUUUCCCUGUAUUGAAUUUUUAAUAUAUCAAUAAAUAUAUUAGUAUCAAAUAUCUAUUAUACGGAUACUAUUAUUAUUAUAUGUAUUAAUAUUUGAUUUAAAGUUGCUAUAUUUUUAUUUUGCAUUCAAAAUGUAUAAGAAUUCAUAGUGUAUAGAGUAAAACUAUAUAUAAUUUGAAAUAGAAUUCUAAUUUCUAUUUAUAAUUCAUUUUAUUGGUCAUUAAGUAAUUGGGACCUCAGUAAGAUAUCACUUCUAGGAUUAAAUGACACAUGUUUUCCUUUUUUCACUCUUUCAUUAUCUCUAUUAAUUAAUGAAACCUUCUUUGUCAACCAAAAGAGGGUGAAAAGAUUACUUAGUCUUCUAUCACACAAAAAAAAUGAUGGGCAAUAAUGUAAUUUCACAGGUCCAAAUUUUACUAUUUUUUAUUGAAGCCUCAUCUAUAGGUGAUGUUAAAAUACCUCCAAUAUUAAAAAAAAAAAAAAAAAAACCUCCCACUCCCCCCAAGUUCUCUCUCUCUCCCUCUCUCCUCAUUUUCUAAAAAAAUAUGUUCAUACACACAAAGUGUGUAGGCAAAUGCUAGUAUUCCAUUAGUAAUUCAAUUUAGUCCAUUUAUAAUUUCUGUUUGUAAUUUAUUUUAUUCCAUUACUUCUUGUAAUACAAUGUGUUGUAGUUGCUAUCUUUAGACAUUCAUAAUACUUAAAUAUAUUUGGAAAUUAUCGAACUUUUUACAGACUUUUAAGGGUCUUUCAUUGCUAAGACAGCAUACCAUAACUAAACUACUUGUAACAGUAUAAAAUAGUACAAUGUAAAGUCAUAUAGUGUAUUGUGCCUGAUUAGUUGAUGAUUGAUGCAAACUGGUGUUGGAGUGGAUUUUCUAUCCCGUGUCUAUUUUUUUCUUUUUCUUUCUUUCUUUUGCUUUCUCUGAAUGUGGAUUCGUACACGAAGCAGGAAUGGGAGAUGAUUAAUGAUCUCAGAGCAGACAUGGGUAGACUCCAGCAAGGCAUGAGUCACAUGCAGAGGAUGUUGGAGGCCUGCAUGGAUAUGCAAUUGGAGUUGCAACGUUCUGUUAGACAGGAAGUCUCCGCAGCUUUGAAUCGUUCAUCUGGUGAAAAAGGUUGGUUUCAGGUUCAAUAUGUUAAAUGACACAGAAACACGUUUGUUUCAAGAAUCUGUGUGUGUGUGUUCAACGAAACUGUAUGCAUGCGGUCUCUGCCUCCAUUAAAGCUGCAUUUUAAUCUUGGGGUAAUUCAUAUGAAAGAUGCUAUCACUUUGCAGGCUUGGGCGCUGAGACAUCAGAGGAUGGGUCCAAAUGGGGUCAUGUGAGAAAAGGGACCUGUUGUGUUUGUUGUGAUAGUCAAAUCGAUUCUCUCUUGUACAGGUAUAUUGCUUGUAACCUCGAUACAUUUGAUUUUGAUGGUGUUGAUGACUAUCAUUUUGUAAUAAACUGUUUUGUGUGCCUUUUGUCCCUUUUUUCUUUCGUGUGCAGAUGCGGGCACAUGUGCACUUGUUCAAAGUGUGCAAAUGAGUUGAUUCGUGGCGGAGGGAAGUGCCCACUUUGUCGAGCACCGAUUGUUGAGGUGAUUCGAGCAUACUCCAUACUGUAAAUUUAACUCUUAACAGGAAAGAAAAGAAAAAAGGACAAAAAUAUAAACUGAAUAGAAUGACCGGAAUGGUGGAAAGGGGGGAGACAGUGGUUGUUCCAUAGGAUGAAGAUGAAUGGGAAGCUUCUGUGGUCCUUUUCUCUGUAGAGUGUUUUACUAGUUUCCGAUGUUUCUCUGAUUAUUUAUGGAAAUUCGAAUGCGUUGUGUAAUUAGAAUAACAUAUGGCACUCUCGAUUCAUCAUUCUUACGUAAAUAAAAUCUUCUCUGAAUUUUUUCUUUUCGCGUGUUUCGCUCCCCCCCCCCACCCCGGGGUUGGUUUUCAGCUCUAGCUAUCAUAUGCAAGCAUAACUGUGAUUAGUAAAAUUGGUACAAAUUUUUACAGUAUGGUAGGGCAGAGAAAGUGGGGCAGGUGAGAGAAUAAAACGGGGACUUGGUAAACGUAAGAUAAUGUGUAAUUACUGUAUUAACUUUAGUUUUUAAAUGAAUUACUUGUAAAUUAUUUACUUUCCAAAGAUUUAUUUCUUAACAAUAGCAUAAAAAAUAAAAAAACAGACCAGAAAAAAAAGGCAGAAUGGGAUCUUGUUAUCUUUGUACUGAAGCUUUAGGUUUGAUGAUUUUCGUGUAAGGAUUAUUCUCCCUCCUUGUAAAAUUCUAAAAAUCUGCUUCUGGAAAUGUAUCCUUGACAUUUUAUCAAUGAGUGGCUUCUUGUCUUUCCCUCUUCUAUAUUGCUAUAAUCUCUGGUACAUGCAGAGUGAUUUUCCGGAGUACCUGAAAAAGAGAUUUUUCGGUAUACCGGAAAAGUGGUGAGCUUUACAAAACCAAACACCUAUAUUUACAUCAUGGAUUAAAAAAGAGAGCUUGCUUCGCUCCUUGCAGCAUAUUACAGUUCAAAAUCUGCAAAAUCAACUCAUUAAAACCAAAAAAGAAAUUAGAGUUUUGGUUCCUGUGCUUCUGAUCUCUGAACUACAUGAGUAUUUCCUUGAGCUUGUCACAACUUGAGACAAUGAUCAUUUUGGGUAACCUGUUUUAGUUCGAAUCAAAAUAAAAGCUUUUAGAGCAAGAUAAGCGACAUAAGUUCUAAUGGAGUUACUCAAAAGCUUUUAGGGCAUGAAACCAUUUCCAUCUUAUUAGUUUCAGUUUUAUUUAAUUACCACAGGAAAAAGUCUUUUUAUGAAUUUGUACAUCCAAUUCAAUCUUCCUGAGCCAUCAAACCCGAUCAAAUUGAAUUGGUCUGGAAUGGCAUCAUAUACCUUUUCUACGUGGCUUUGACUAAUUUAGGAAGCAAAAAGGCAACUUAUGGGUUCCAAUAAAACUCUGACCAAAUAAAAAAAAAAUGUUGUAAGCAAAUGAAGCUUUACCGCAGUGGCGGAAAGCAAUAAUACUUAUACAACUGGUGCGGUUUUGAUCCCCUUUCACCUCUACCAUUUAAUCCAGUAAUGCUAUUGUUUGUAAAAAAAAAAAAAAUGUUGUAAACUUGUCUCAUUCUUGAUGUCCUCAUUCUGAAAUUAUAAAAAAACUCAAUAAACUAACUAACUAAUCCGGAUUAUUAUACUUGUAUGACAUUGCAAACCAUAAAGGUCAAUAUGGUUUGAGAAUGUAGUCACCAAAUGUGAUCAACUUGACAAUUGAAAGCCAGUUCAAUAUUCUAACUUAACGCCCUUCUACUUUCGCAUAUUUGAGGCUCUUUUGGAAUUAGAAUUCGCGCAUUUCUCGUAACUUUGUGUCUAGUGACAGUACCUGCUUGUGUUCAUGUGGAUUUGCUUCUAUUUCCUUGGACCACAGACUAACCAAACAGAAAUCAGAGUGAGACGGAAGCAUGGACUGGUGUAUGACAGAUGAACACACAAAAUUUUGCACCUACUACUUUGAAAUAGUGAUUACGUGUUAUUAAUCCGUAAUCUCUCUCUUAAUUUGGGCUUUAUAUCUGUAAUUGGAAAGUUCAAUAUUACUGAGAUUCUUGAUCUUUCACACAUUAAGGAUCCGUUCCUGUGGCCUGAGAACUUUGAAUAUCGCCAUGCUGCUGCAUGUUACCGACCAGAAUCGGAAAGAGUCACGCAUAAGAGAUAACCAAAACAGAAACAGUCACUAAUCUUCGCAAUGUAUGCGUCUGUGCCUACCUUGUAUUGGCAAUCUGGAUGCUUCUGUAAUUCAUCCUUUUCUACUUUCAGUUUCUGACUGGAUGAAAAAUGUCCGUGUCAACCUUUCACUGUAAUUUUAAAAUGUAUUAAUCAAAUUUGAUAAGCCCGUACGGUUGGUUAGUUUUGUUUUUAAUCGUACUAGAUAAAUGAGAUAGGACAUAGAUAAGCCAAGCACUGGAUCGAUCGAAGAAGUUAUGGUUUUGGGUUAAGACAUACAAGGAAAACCUGUAUUGUUAGACUUAGCCCACCCAGGUUAGUGGGUAAGAAUUUAAAAGUUUAUUAAAAGUAAAUAUGUGGGCAAUAAUUGAAAAAAAAUCUAGGGGUUUUUUUUUUCCACUUAAAAAAAUAAAAUAAAUUAAAAGAUUUAAAGUUUUAUUAGAAAACUAUUAUUAGCACUCUAAAAUUUUAAUUAUACACUCCUCAUAAGAGUAUUUUUUUUAAACAUAGAAUGUUAGAGUGCACAUAAGGGGUGAUGUAGUCAAAUUAUGAUUUGAAGAGAUUUUAAUAGACUAUAAAUCAGGAUGUAAUCAAUUAAGAUUUUAAAAGAGGAUUUUAAAAGAGUUUGAAAUCAUGGUGUAGUCAAAUUAGGAUUUAAGAUGAUUUUAAAGACUACAUCCAAAUUCAUGGUUAAUCAAUUAUGAUUUUAAAAAAGUCCACCCAAAUCGAGCUGCCACCAAAAUCUAGGUGUAAUGAGAAUACCAAAGAUUUGUUAGGAUCUUAAUGAAUGAUGGAUUUUGAUGGAUUUUACUGUGGGUGAUAUAAAUACCAAAUGCCAUAAAAAACCUAACCACCCCCUCUGAUUUCUUUUCACGUUCAUCACAAAAGUGGAACAAUCUUCCUCUCUUAGAUGUCUUCCUCUAUCCUUCAUGGUAUUCAUGCUUUUCUCUUCCCAAUUUGUAUAAUUCUUGUAUGAUUGAUUUGUUGCACAACCACACUGGUACUUAAUAAACAUAUAGCUCCCUUACUUCCUUCUCACACACAUAUAUCUAUACAUAUAAUAUCACAAUUCCCGAGCUUCACCGUGAUAGUAGAAAUGAUGGAUUGCAAAGAAUGUAACAAUGUUGCAGAGAAAACAACAAAUGAAGAAAGAAGAACAAUUCUUAGAGAGAGAAGGAAGAGAAUUAUGGGUUGCAUUUCUGUAUUGCUUUCGUAAUCUGUUCAGAAUUAUUACACUUGUUUAUAUAGCCACACAUGCCUUACACCAAGCUAUCUAUUUUAACAGAACUAACCACCUAACAGCCUUUCUGUUAGCAGUGUUAACAAACUAAUAGCUACGAACAGUUUUCUUAAACUUUAACAGUCACUUAACAACUUACAUCAUUCAUCAUCCCUCCUCAAUCUCAACUGGGUUCCGCAACUUGAGAUUUAAGCAAUGCUUGACAAAAGUAGGAAUGUGAAGACCUUUAGUAAGCACAUCAGCUGUUUGUUCAUCAGUUAGGACAUAUGUAACUUCCAAAUCUCCUUGUUGAACUCUUUCUCGAAUUAAGUGAUAAUAUGUGUUAAGAUGUUUAAUUCUUGAAUGAAACACUGGAUUUGCACUUAAUGCAAUAGCUGACAUAUUGUCACAAAAUAACACAGGUGGCUUAGGUAGAAAAACCUCCAAGUCAUUCAAAAUAUUCCUCACCCAAGCAAUAUCAUAGCACUAGAAUCCUAACUUUGAACUGUAUUGAUAACUGAUUGUGAUUGUUGUACUCUUGGAAUUGGCAUUUGAAGCAUAGUAGGAACUUGCUUAUUCGAAACUGAAUUACACUUAUCAUUUUUCUAUGGCUUCACUACAGACUUAAAUGGAAAGACAUAUUCAUCAUGUAUAACAUGUCUUGACACUAUUAAUCUUCCAGUAUGUUGUUUAUAGCAAAUCACCCCCUUAUAACCAAUGGAAAAUCUAGGGCUGGGAUUGAUUCAAAUCGGUUCGGUUUUUUGUCAAAAUCGAAACCAAACCGAAAUUUUGGUUCGGUUUACUUUUUUUUUAGUUCGGUUUAAUUUCGGUUUGGUUUCAGUUCAGUUUCGGUUUUUUUUUCUUCGAAAAAAUGAAAAAGUUUGAAAUAUAAAAUUUUAACAUCUUCAAUACAAUAUUAACAUAAGCAUUUCAACUAGAAUCAAAGACAAUGAAAAUAAACAUUCAAAGUUCAACUAGAAUCCUCAAUCAAGUCUUCUAAAGUCCAAACUUAAAAUAAACAUCAAAGUUUAAGUCUUCAAAAAAUCCAAAUUUAAAAUAAACAUCAAACUUCAGGUCUUCUACAUCUAAAAUAAACAUAACAAAGUCCAAACUUUAAAGAAAUAUUCCACUUAACUAAAAUCAUAAAUUCAAAUAAACCUUCAAGGUUUCAUGUCUUGCACACACUUCUUCUCUUCAAGUUCUCAAGCUCAAACGCUUGGGCGGCCUAGAAGGCAACAUAACACCUUUCCUUGAACUUCCACAUGCCAGUUCUACAUACAAAAUAAAAUAAGAAAAAACAUUAUUUUGAUACAAAAAUGAUAUUAGGGACCUGGGGGAGGGGGGGAGCAAUAGAAAAGGGUAGAAAAAUCCACACUUUGAUAAAUUUCAACUAAAUUUCAAUUAAAUAGCUACUAAUCCAUCUAGACACAACGAGCAUAUCAGACUUUAUAAGGUGAUAUUAGGGAUGGUUGUAAGGUCCCCGACGUAAAAAAUCCAAUGAGGAGUUGUAAGGGGCCCCUUACACUGAUUGAUUGCUUGCUCACAAAUAGAUUUGGAUGGUCAAAGCUCUUAAAUUUAGCAAACAAACAUGUACCACUUGAGCCCUCAUAUCUCGACAUUAUAAAUAACCAAUCAUUAUAUGUUAAACACAUUCUUAAUAGAUUAUACUUAUAGCGUCAUUCAUGCAUCUUAUAUCAUAACUUGAACCAAAACCUCUUGAAUACAUAAAAUUCAAACUUCCAUUGAAUUGCUUAUUGUGUGACUAUGCCUUGUUACUUUUUUUUCUUUCAAGAUAUCUGUUAAGACUGUUAUAUCCAUUGAUUCAUACUACAUAAACCAUGUAAAAGUGAUUCUUUGAAUAAGCCAAAUAGUUGUGUUAUCUGUGAUCUAUAUGAACAAACGAGAUGUGCUUUUCUUUUGUUAUAAGCACUAAGUAGUUCAAAAUGCAUACAUAGCUGUAAACGUGGUUUACAAUCAAAUUCUUCUAAUUCAUAACAAUAGUAAGCAUUACUAUAUGACCAACGAAAACUACUAAAAAUAUAAGAAAAUCGCAAAACCCAUGAAAUUGAAAAGCUGCAGAACUCAUAAAAUUGAAAAUAAAAUCUGCAAAACCCAUGAAAUUGAAAAGAUAAUCUGCAGAACAUGAGAAAAAUUACCAUGAGACUAACCUUGCAAAGGAAGUCGAGGGUUGAGACUCGAAACGGCGAGAGGAAGUUGCGGGUCAUGGGGGUGAGAGACUAAGAGUUUGAGAGUGAGACAACAACUCUUGCAAAUCAACAAGGUGCGACGAAGGUCGCAGGUUACUAGGAAGGAAGAAGACGAAGACUGAUUGAGAGCGAGUGGUUCACACGGAGUGGUGGAGGCUGGGAACUUAGAAUGAGAUGGUUCAGAGGCAACGGAGGGAUCGAUGUUUAUGGUUACCAAUAUAAAUGCAAGUCAGAAAGACUGAAACGAGAACAAACGACACCAUUUCUAGCCAUGAAAAUUAUUAAUUAAUAAUUAAUUAUAAAAUGAUGUUGUUUUGACAACACUUCGGUUCAGUUCGAUAAAAACUGAACCGAACCAACCAGGUUCGAUUCGGUUUCUUUUGGCCUCGAUUCGAUUUUUGGUCUUGUUUUUUUUUUGUUUUUAAUUUUUCGAACCCACCCCUAGGAAAAUCCCUGAAAUAAACAUUGACUUGAUCUAGUUUGUAAUUUGUUACUAUUGAAUGAUCUCAAGAUAGGAUACCAUGCAGACCCAAAAAUCUUGAACUGCUGAACUUCAGGAUUAUGAUAAAAAACACGCUGAUAUGGAGAUUUCAUCUUUAGCACCUUACAUGGCAUCCUAUUAAUCAACAAAACCUCAUAUGAACAUGCAUGAUACUAGAACCUUGAAGAAAGAUUAGCUGGAGACAUUAAUGUAACUGCAGUUUCUACUACAUGCCUAUGCUUCCUCUCAGCAAUCCCAUUUUGUUGUGGGGUGUGAGGACGAGAAAUCAUAUGAGUAAUACCCUUGCUUGCCAAAAAAUCCACAAAUACUUUGCUCAUGUAUUCCCCUCCACUAUCAUAUUGCAAAACAUUUUAUAAUAGCAAUAAAUUGAUUUAACACAAAAAGCUUGAAACUUAGACAAAAAUUGAGAAGGGUUAUGAUUUAUUUGUCAUGGGAAAUAUCCACAUGAACCUUGAAUAUUCAUCUACAAAGUUUAUGUAGUAUCUAUAACCUUGUACAAAUUGAAUUAGAGUUGGACCCCCCUACAUCACUGUGUAUUUUCUCAAACAGAUAACUAGCUCUAUGUUCUCUACUAGGAAAUGGUUGCCUACUCAUUUUUCCUUGAAUACAAGAAGAACAUACAGUAGGAUUCGUAUCUAUACUAGCAUAUAUGUUUGCAGACUUCAACAUAGCUUGUAAAACUUCCUCUGAAGGGUGUCUAAAUCGUUGAUGCCAAAUUGAAGUAUUGACCUUUUUGCUAAUGAAUGCAGCAUAUCUACUCAACUUUGUAGCAAAUGAAUCUGAAAAUGUAUUUACUGAAAUUCUGAACAAAUCCCCACCAUCACUCCUUCCUUGAUAUAAAAUCACCCUCGAGCCUUUGUCCUGUCUGAAAAACAUCACAUCAUCACAUAUGAACCAACAAUCAUUAUCUUUGCACAGUUUCUUAACAGAUAAUAGAUUGACAGUUAUCAUUGGCACAUGUAAAACAUUUUUCAAUAUUAAAGAUUGAUUUGAGGAAGGAGUAAUGUUAGAGGAACCAAUGAUUUUGACUAUUAAACCUUCACUAUUGGCUAUGAUAAUCUUCUCAUCUCCAUUGUAUGGUGCAACUUGAUUUAUGUUGGUAACAUUGGCAGUCAUGUGGUGUGUUGCACCAGUGUCCAUAAUCCAAGUUUCAGCAACAUUGAAUCCAUUGUCAUUGACAACAUUUAUAUUUACUUGCCUCAUAUUGGUUUGUGCAGAUAAAGUUGUGAGAGAAAAUGCUGGUGCAUUACCUUGGUAGGAGAAAUUGUUCCUAUGAUAACAUUCAAGGGCAAUAUGACACCCUCUUUCCACAGAUUUGACACAUCACAAAACUUGAAAAUUGUCCAUUGUUGUCAGCUCUAUGAUAACAGUUUGGUGUAGUGUGUCCCCUCCUCGAACAAAUUUAGCACUCAUGUGAAAUAACAUUCUUAUAGUUAGUAUUGCCAUUCCAAGAUCCUCAUUUUCGAGAAUUGAGGACUUUUUCCAUUUCCAAAAUAUGAAUUACCUUCAUUGUUCCCAUUACCAGAAAGAGUUAUUCCCAGAUCUAUUUGAGAAAUUUCCAGAAAAAAGACUUUGAGUUAUUGUUUCCAGAGUAAUUACUUCCAUUGUUUCCAAAAAAAUUGCCUCAAAUUCCUUCAUUACUCCUAUUGAAUUUCCUAAGAAAUUACCCCUUUGUUGAAAUAUGUUCCCAUUACUCACAUAACCUGAUCUCCUUGAAAGUUUGAGCCAUUAUUAUACCCUUGUGAAUUUGAACUUUCACCUUGCUCAUAAUUUUGAUUUCCUCCUUGAAAUAUGCUAGAGCUUGCCUCAUAUCCUUGUACAUACAUUGCAGACAUAGAAUUGGAUAGUGACUGCAUUCUAGACUCAAUACUAGCUUAUGCACCCAACAAUUGUGCUCUGAAAUCUUUAAGUGACAUUAUGGAAUCCCUUGCAAGAAUCAUUAUCUUGAUCACUUCAAAAUCAACAGGCAGUCCAUACAAAACAACAAUGAUAUAAUCAUUAUCUUAUGUAUUUUCACCAACAAAAAUUAACUGAUCUUUAAUUCCCUUGAGUCUAAGCAUGAACUUGUCCACAAAAUCUCCUCAUUUAUGUGCAGUGUGAAAUUCUGUUUUCAGCUGAUUCACAUAAACCAUGGAUACUGAUGCAAAUCUUUCCUAUAGGCAGUUCCAGGUUUCUUGUGAACUCUUGCAUCCAAUGACAUGUUCCAUGGCAUCAUCAGAACGAGUAGCAAUGAACAGACUUAACAAUGCAAGAUCAUUCUUUACCCAAUUUUGUACACCGUAGUGAUUUCCUUGGUGAUUACAGUUUCUAUAUUGAUUACAUACUUUGGUGGACAUGGCGAAUCUCCAUUAAAGAAAUCAAACAAAUCAUAACCUCUCAAAACAAAUUGAAAUUGAAAACUCCACUUCAAAAAAUUAUCAUCUUGAAGCUUAACUGUAAGCAUUCCCAGCAACCCCUCAAUCUUCAUAGAUUCAGACAUGAUGAUAUUUCAAGAAUCUUGCAACAAAAGAAUGCAGAUUAUAUCCAAUAAGCAACUAAAAAUCCCAAGAUUUAUCAAAUAAUACACUUUGGCUAUUAGCCUUACAGAAGGAUUGCAGAAAUGAAGGAUUGCAGAGAAUGUAAGAAUAUUGUAGAGAAAACAACAAAUGAAGAAAGAAGAACAAUUCUUAGAGUUAGAAGGAAGAGAAUUAUAGAUUGUAUUUCUGUAUUACUUUCGUAAUAUGUUCAGAAUUAUUACACUUGUUAUAUAGCCACACAUGGCUUACACUCUAAGAUAUUUGUUUUGACAGAACUAACCACCUAACAACCUUUCUGUUAACAGUGUUAACAUACUAACAACUACUAACAGUUUUCUUAACAGACUUUAAUAAUCACUUAACAACAACCUACAUCAUUCAUCAUUCCAAAUUCAUGUUUUUGAAUUUAUUAUUUUUCAAUUGUAUUGGUUCUCUAUUUGAUAGCAGGAAAAACCAUGAAUUUAUGCAAUGAAAAGAGAAAACCUAGAAAGUUAAGCUACCGCAUUGCACUUGUGUGAGGAACCUUGGAUAUUUUGUUCCAAAUAAUUGAAAGGAGCUUGGAUAAAUUUACUGAGUUUUCAUUAUUUAGUAAUAUAUACCCGUGGUUUGCGAGAAUUCAAGAAUUGUUCUUUUUUAUUGGAAAUAUAUUUGGGUUUAGUUGUUAAUCUGUGUUUAGUUCUCCAUUGUCAUUAGCUUACAAAAUUCUGAAUGGUUUUUCAUCACAUUCCAUGUUAUUCUUCAUUGUUUAAACUAUAGAUCUUUUGCAAGAACAAAAUUGAAGAAGAAACUUUAUGAAACCAUUAAGUAUUUAGUGAUGGCAAUUCAAGUCAUAGUCCACGUGCUAAAAGAGUUUAUAAUCACAAGUGGACAACCUAUUGAAUGUCCUUUAAAUCGACGAUUAACUACUAUGGAAGGAUGCAACUAUAUACAUAAAGUAUUGAAAGAUAACCACCCAGAGGAUUCGGCAAAGGCAUAGAAUGUAUUCUGAUGUGUUUAUGAAAUUAUGCACUAUUAUUAAACAAAAAAACUCUUAUGAGAUACAGGACUGCAACCUAAGCUCUGAUACCAAACUGACACACCCUAACCGGAGUCGAGACGUGCUGGCCGUCACGUGAGAGUGACGUAGCCAAGAACGCAAAGAGGAAGCGAUAAAGAGUAAAAGAAAUACUAACAAUUUAAAACCAAGCGACUAACAAUCCCAAAUAAGAAAGGAUGCUAGUGAGAGUCUAAGUGUAUAAUUACACUUUCAGAGCAAUAAGAAGAUCUAGUUGCAGUCAAGUAGGACAAUUACUAAGACACAACACCCGAAGGUGAAUCCUACUUUUUCGGAUUCUGUCAGAACACCGAUGGAUUCCUCGUAGCCACCAAACUCUGCUAUCUAAAACCUGGAGGGGCGAAAAACAAAGUUGAGUGGGCCAGUAAAACACAUUUACAUGAAAACCUUAUUUUUCCUUUGAAUAUACUAACCCCUCGCCGUAAAACAAGUAUAUGGUUACUUUCCCAGAAAAUAGAAUACAUAAAUAUGUAUAUAAUUAUAUCAUUUCAAAUCAUACUCAAAAAUCAAGAUUCAUAUUUGUAUGUAUGCCAUGCCUAUAUAUAUAACAGAAUAAGCAAUUCAAAUAAGAAUAAUUUCAUAGAAAUAUAACAUGUUAGCCGGAACCCCUGAGGUAGUCUAUACGACUGAAUUUCAUAGCUCAAAAGUCACUCUAGCCGGAGUCCCUACAAUGACCUAUACGGCAAUAUACUGCACAAUAGUCAGAACCAAAUGCAAGGGUCUGUACGACGAUAAUGGGUGUAAUAAAAUUAUGCUCAAUACUUCUCUCACAUAAUAGCCAGGCGAUAAAUCGCUAGUCACCUACGAGUCAGAACCAUAAUUAAGGUCUGUACGACAAGACUGUGCACCUAAAUUGGAUCCAAUGUGAGCAUAUGGUGCGGGAGGUGACAUAGUAAACAUGCAUGUACUUCAUAUCGCUGGCUAAAUCACAAUCACCCUAGGUGCAGUUUUAUGAGCUCAACAUUAUUCAAUCACAUAUCACAUCAUUGACAAUUCACAUAACCAAAACAUAACUUACCUGAGCUUACCUAGGCCUCUAUAGCACCAUGCAACAAUAUGCAUAAUUAUGAUAAUGCAUAUGCUAAAAUAAAAAAUAGGCAUUGGCAUAGCAUGGCAUUUAAAUCACAUUUCCUUUUAAAUACGAUUUCUAGGAAAACGUCAAGUGUGUGUAUAUAUAUAUAUACUAAAAAUAACUGUCCACUCAUAGAUAUGUCGAUGGGUCGUAACCCCCGAGUCUCGAUUGAUUACGCUCGUCCUGAGAAUAGGCCUCACCUAUAGGCGUAAUAACCGAAUAAACGUUAUUUAACGCACAUAACCAACAAUAGGUAAUAACUUCUCAUAUAUUGCUUAAAUUGGGCAUAUGAAUAUACCACAGUGACCUACACAACCUCAGGAUCAUCCCCAAAUUUUUAGAAUAUUUUUCCGAGCUCCCAUGCGCCGCCACGCGCCGGCCAAGGAAUGGCCAGACGCGCCCCCACGCGCGGCUAUGUGCCAGGCACAUUGACGGCGUCAGUUAACGCCGUCAGGAAUAUUCUGUCGAAUAUUCUGUUUAUUCCUUAAUAAAACUUAACGGCGUGACCUAACGCCAUUAGAAUAUUCCGUUAAACCUAUUGGAAUAUUCUCUCAUCUUCUACCUUCAGCUCCGGCGACCGUCGCCGUCGUCGGAAACUGGGAAAUUUUCAUUUCCUUAUAUCUUCUUCAUUUUUAACCCAAAAUUUAUGAAACUUGAACCAUUUUAAAGAUCUCACAAUGAAGAACAAAGCCAUACCUGAUUCGAGCUUUGAAACCCGCUGGAAAAAGCUUUGAUAAUCCGGCAAACCUUAAAACUCGUCGUUCUCACGAUUUCGACGUCCAAUUUCUUCAAACGAAGUACUUCGAGCUUCGCAAGGACCUCCUUAAGCUCCCUAUGUCCUUAAAAUUCCCUAAAAAUCAACAUUUUACGUGAGCAUGAAUAGUACCUCAAAUCGGGUUUUGGGUAAACGAUCAAGUCAAUUUCCUGGACUGUAGGAAAGUCUUGGCGUCCAUUUCGUCAUGGGAAGAAUUAGAAAUGUAUUGGAGGAAACUGGCGAAGUCUGUAUCCUUGUAACGUGUAGGGUUUGCUUCGUCAAUGAGUUUAGGUGAUGGCCGAACUGUGCUCUUGAAUGGCAGGCUGUGCAAUGAAGCUACAGAUAUUCGAGACUUGCAAGAGUUGACCAGAACCCUAUGGACCACGCUCUUGUAUCUCCCAUUGCUAAAUAUCUGCAUUGCGUGCAUCCCCAACAGUUCACCACACACACAUAUAUAUCAAACUCAAUUUACUAAUCCAUAUAUAUAUGCCCUUAAUUAGUUAUGACAUGAUUAGUGUUGUUAAUUGGAUGACCGUUCAACCUAAAAAAGUGGGAAUUAAAGGGCUAGUAAUAAUGUUAAUCUGUUAGACAACCAUGAAAUUUAAAAGUUAAGUUCGUGAAAAAUAGUCAGCAUGACUGUAAAUGAAGCAAGCCAACAUUUGUAACUAGCUUGUGUUUGUGGAACUCAAAGAAGAACUUUUUUUUUGUGUACAUGUGAUGUCGACGUGGCACUACAAAUCUAUACAAAUUAUAACACGUAAACUGUGCCUAGGGUUCACCACUUUGGAUUCAGCUAGGUUUCAUUUACUAAUACGUUAUUUUGGGGAAAUCAGUCAUGUCCAGCCAAAUAGUUGUAACUAGCUAAUAAGGUUUCUGUGUCUCCAAGAGCUUGAAAGAAACUGUGUUAUGAUUGGUAUGACAAUUGGAAAUCUUAUAAGAGAUGAAUGCAGGGAUCGAUACAAUAUGUGAUGCACCUAUUCAAUAUCACAUGCAUGCUUCACGGUUAAUUAAUUGAUAAUUGCCAACCUCAAGAUGAUCACCAACAUUGACAACGAAAGAAUUUGGAAGUGGUUCCACGGUUACCCAACUUCCUUGAUUCUGUAUUUGAAGACCCCCAACUUCAUCUUGAAGUAGAAGAGUGAGGAGGCCAUAGUCCGAAUGGGGUGGCAUACCUAGUGUUAAAUCAGGUUCAGGGCACGCAGGGUAGCAAUUCGCCACAAUGAGUUGGCUUCCAUCUUCAAAAUCCUCCAAACUGCCUUUACCCUCACCGCCUUUUGUAGCUUCCACCAAUCCUAGGCUCUCCAUGAUGGCCUCCAUUAGCAUUAGAUACAAAAACUUGGUGCUCUUCGAGUAGUUUACCACUGCUUCCCUAUGCAUAUAUAAUGACAUGAUGUUUAAAAUUCGAAUUAGAAGUCGAUUAAAAUCAAAGUGAUUGCAUCCAAAUAUUAUUAGGAUGUACAGAAAAAUCAAUAUAAGUAAACAAAACAAAUUGAAUAUACAAAUGUGUGUGUUACGUUAGCAAGUCGAUGCAUGACCAAAAAAAUACAAUCACUGGUUGUAUAUCUAUGUCCUGAUCUCUUUAAUACAAUAGUCGAAUACAGCUCAUGAUAGAAAUUUUUACUCAUCAAUGACUAACAGAACCCUAAACUUGAGAUAUAUAUGUGAGAAGAGAAGCGAAGAAUCACCUUAAGUCCGCUGGAGAAGAAGGCCAACAGGACACAGUGUCUUGUAAAGGAUGGCAGCCAAGUUUCAGAAAGUCUCUCCAGCAAAAUACUUUAUCAUUGUUCUGGUUAAAGCUUGUUCCAUACCUAGCUGGGGAAGAAAUAUCCUUUGACAUGUACUUUGAUCUCUCAUUGAAAGGGAGCUCGAAAAAUCUUCUGCUUACAUCAAUAAUUUCAAGAAUAACAUCAUCUUUGAUACCAUGGUUUAUCAACUGCAGCAAUAAAAAUAAUAAAAGGUUUAUAUUUAGUUUCAUAAGUUUUGUCAUAUGACUGGUUAUGCAUAUGGACCUAUAUAUAUAUAUAUGUAUAUAUUUAGGGUUCCUUUUCACAAAAAUUUAUGCGCUAUUCAAACCAAGCGGGAUCCCGUUAGAGAAGCAGAAUUAUAUGACAUGCAUAUGGACAAUUAUGCAACAACAUGAACUAGAUGAUGAUCACAUUAAAGAAGGAAGGAACAUGCAUACGAUUGAACAUCUACCUGAAAAAACCCGAAUUCUUCGCAAGCGUUUGCAAGGGACUCUAUUACUUGGGAUCUGUUGGACCCUUGCAACUGAGUAAAAUCAAUAACUGGCAACUUGAGGUUAUGCUUGCUAGCAUUCCCAGUGUCUCCCAAGUCGGGUCGUUCUUGGACGGGCAAUAUGUACUUGCUUGGAACCCUAGUCAGCCCUCUUUCACAUAAAUGUCUCACUCCCUUCUGGAGGUAUUGGAUUUCGGUUUCUUCAUUUUCGAUAUUGUAUGUACCAUCAGCAGUACUAUUUGAACCCAUUUCAGGUAACAUACAGAUAUUAUCAAAGAGAGAGUUAAUAUAUUUAUAAUACAAAGCAAAGCAAUGGAUGGCAAGAAGGAAAAUAUUGGGUGGCUUUGAACCGUUUAUUUCCAGAGAUGUGUGGAGAAGAAAAGGGGUGGCUGGGAAGCAAAAGCGGCGGGGGGGGGGGGGGGGGGGUGGCACUAGAGGCAAUAAGUUAAUGAAUAAUUUCAGAGGUGGUGUACUACUUAAAGGGAGGGAAAGAAUAGACUUGUUAGAAUUAGUUUUUGAGAUAUAUACACGGCCUGGUCCCAUAAUAUAUAUAUAUAUAUAUAUAUAUAUAUAUAUAUAUAUAUAUUCCUUGUGCAAAGAGACCUUUGACCAAGUUUAGUCUGACCUUAUAUGUAGCAAAAAGAUCGACACCUGAGUCUAAAUCUUGAGGCGGUGGAGCAUGACUGCUGGUGACGAACUUCGACAAUCUACAUGGUGGCCCGCGUGGAAUUACAAAGUCAACAUUUCUUAGGUCUACUGAAAGAUUUUUUAAUGUGACCGGCACACGAGGUGAUAUAUAAUGUGUUACUAUACAAAUGAUGGGAUGUGUGUGUUAAAAAGUUAAUAACUUAAAAAGUAAAAUUUCCUAUCACUUACAUAAAAACACGUGGUGUACCACCCGUGUUUCCAUCACAAUAAAAAAUUUCUCUUUUACCAAAAUUCUCAAAUCGUACUGAAAAAAUCCCGAAAAAUUCGGUACUCAAUCUUGAACUGAUCCCGAAACUUCGGUACAAGAAUCGGUCUCACAAUCUGACUUUUUCGGUAAUCCCAAACCAAACCAAAGUUAAAAUAUAUAUAGUUUUAGAUAUUAUAGGCUGUUGGAUUUCUAAGCAUUUUGUCGAAUGUGUGAAGGUUUGAGGAUCCUUGGUUUCGGAUUAGGAUGGGUGCAGGUUUUUUGGAGGGUUUCAAGUUGGGUGGGUUCUUGUUUAGGGUGGGUGCAGUGCAGGAAGAUGCGAAUCUAACACGAAUCGAGUCCCAAAAUCCAGGUAAGGGUUUCUUAUUUUCACUAGAUUUUUGUUCUUUAGGGUUUAAGGUCAAAUUUCAUGUUGAUUAACUUGAUUUCUAAGCAUUUUGUUGAAUGUGUAAGGGUUUGAGGACUGAGGGUUUCGGGACUGAUGAAAUCAAGAAAGGUUAGUUUGUGAUGAUUUCUUAUUAGCUGAGGCCUGAAAGCAGCUAUGUUUUGGUGCAUGAUUCAUGAUUUAAGAUGGUUCAAUUGUUUAAUAUAGAAUGAUUCCAUAUAUUAAGUGAUGCAUGCUUGCUGAAUGUGGUGAAUGGUGAUCUUCUAUUUUAUGCAAUUUGUAUUCAAAGGAUCCACAAAUUGUUUUCCAAUGCUAUGUGUUAUUUGUUUGUCAUAGAUAUUGAUAAUCCUUUGAAUUAAUUAGAAUGUCUGGCUCAUCUGUUUCGUUUUUCUCUGCAGAAGUUCCCAUCCUUUGAAUUAUUUCAAGAUUCUUGAUUUAUUCCGAAAUCCCAAAACUAUCUCAGGAUUCCCGAAAUUUGGGAUUUCCAAAUAUUUGGUUUUCCGAAAACUUCGGUUUGGGAAUCGGGACAAGGUUUUCAGUUCGGUAUCCCAUACCGAACCAACCCUAGAUAUUUCCUAUAGGCUUAGCUUCUAGCAAUAAAUCAACUUUGUCUUCCAACUCUUCAUUUCUCAAUCGUUGAAGUACUAGUUUAGUACUGAGGUGUUUUUUAAAAAAAGGGUAUCAAAAAAAGUUAGGAGCAUUUUUGUGUUUGGUAAACUUUCAACUUCAAUUUUUUUUCACAAUUUUGGAUGAAAAAAGCCAAAAAACAGAAGCAGCAAAAGCUAGCUUUGAAAAACCGACUUUUUUUGCUUCCACAGCUUCUGCCCAAACCUAAUUUGCAAGAGGCGCUGAGUCAUUUAAUGAAACUUUCAAAUACUAAAAAUGGCCUUAAACAAUUAAAUAAAGUACACAUAAUACCAACUAGAAGACGUCGCCGACUUUAAUUGGGAGAUCGUCCGCCACAACGUUGUUCACUCCCAGCUUCAACAAUCACCGUUAUUGACCUUGGAUUCCAUACCCUACGACAUCGUUUCUGUCUCUAUCCUUUCACCCAUCUCUCGUUCGUCCUCUCUCACUCCCACGCCGACAAAAUCGCGCCGAGAAACACCACCAUCGUUUCCUGCGAUAACCAGACUCGAAUUUAGAUUAGGUUUUGGCAUCGUGGACUUGCCUAGAUUUCUCAGAUUGCACCACUUAUAGGAGAAUGAUAUUCGUAUUUCUGCAAAUUAGGAGAGCCCAGAUUGCCCAAACGAAGAAAAUGAGGAAGAAAAAUGCAGUGAGACAUGUGAGAGAGAUUUAGGAACAACCCAUUAAAGACGGCAUAGUCACAGCGUUGGCGCCUUCGAAAUCCAUGGAGAUGAAAAUAAAUAAGAAGAAGACGGAGCAGAAAAAAUAACAACUAAGAAAAUUGGGGUAGUGGAGGAGACUUCUAGAGAGAUUUUUUUGGUUUUUGGGAAAGUCUAGUUUGAUGCAGAUGGAGAAAAUAAAGGGGGAAGACUCUAGAGAGAGUAUUAAUAAAUAAAAUAAUAAAUAAAAUUAUUAUUCUUUAUUUUUUGUCAAAUAUAAAUAAAAUUAUUCUUAUUUUACAUUUAAUAUCAUACUCAUUUUUGUCAUUUGACAUAGUCACAUCAGCUUUAUAUAAAAGUUUACCAAACACCCUUACACUUAAAAGCACUUUUAUAAAAAAAGUUCACCAAACACUCAACUACUUUAUUUUACAGCUGUUGAUUCUCACAGCACAGCAGAAGCAAUUUUUUUUAAAAAGCACAGCAAUACCAAACUAGCCCGAAGUAAAUCAUCUUUAAGGUAGAAAAUUUUGAAUCUUAUAUAUGUAUGAUGAAUGAUGAUGCCAAAACUAAGGCUUUGGUAACAACGCAAGGAAGUGGCUGAUAUUGACUGAUGCUAGGGCUUGUUUGAUAUAAUCAUUUUGUUUUUAAUUUUUCUGAGGAAAUUUUUUAUGAAAAAGGAAGAAUGAACAAUAUCAAAAGAAUGUCAUGAAAUGAAAACUAGAAAAACCAAAUUCAAAACAAUUCUACGUUGUUUUCACUGUCAAGUUGGUUUUCAUAUAAUCUUCUUCAUUUCUCCCAUUAGACCAUUAGACUGAUUGGUAGCUACCAUUGCAAUAAGUAAUUGGGCAGUUGUAGAAUUUUCAACAAUGAUCUCUUCAGCAAGUAACUAGAGGCGAAGCUAUGUAGGAGCGAAGGGGGGCGUUCGCCCCUCCGCUCGCCGGAAAACAAAGGCAGGAGCGACGCUUGAAUCCCCCUAGUUCGGCCGGAAACUGGGGAGCCCCGGGUUCUGAAACCAGAAACAGAUAGCUCUCGGGGAAGACGAUCGGGAGGGAUUUUUUUAAAUUUUAAAAUCCAGGCCAAAACGACGUCAUUUUGGGCCUGGUAAAAAAAAAUUAAAUUUUUUUGGUAAACGACGUCAUUUUGGUUGAAUGAAAAAAAAAAUAUAUAUAUAAACGGGGGACCACUGGUCCCCAUCCAUCCCCAUCUCAAUCCCCAUUCUAUUUCAAAUUAAAAACCCUUAACCCUAUUCCCCAUAUCCCAUCCCGUCAGUCCCCCCACCCCACCUUUUCCCCCCUUUUCCCCACCCCACACGACAAAACCUUCUAUCCUGUAGCAGAUUUCACUUUCCAUUGGCAGACACAUCAGUCUGCAACUGCAAGCACAUCUGCACAGCCACUCCAAAUUCCAAUUAAGGUAAAAAAAUUAAUUUAUUUCAAACCCUAAUUGAUUAUUGAAUAUAAAUUUUUGUUUAAUUGAUGUAGGAUUAUAGGGUUAUACAUUAUAAUUAUAUGGUUAUUGAUUAUAGAUUAUUCAUAUGAAUACUAUGAUUAUUGAUUUUUUUUUUUGAAGUACAUAAAAGAGGACUGAUACAUUAUAUAUACAUUAACAUAAUGAACCCCAAUUCAACUAACUAAAACCCUCAUUCAAAUGCAUUGUUGGUACUUAUUAAUUACAUUCGUAGUCUACAUACUCUACUGUAGAAUAAAAAUUGAUUAUUCAUAUGAUAUGAUUGUUGGUACUGAUUAAUUAAAUUCGUAGUCUACUCUAGGACUAAGAGUCUAAGAUAUAUUUGUUUUUCUUUCGUUAUACAGUUACGUAAUGGAACGAUAUUAUAAGAAACAGUGCUUAAAUCCUUCUCCAAAUAUUCCGGAUAGUCCUCCUCUUCCUUCAAAUAUUCCGGGUAGUCCUCCUCCUCCUUCUAGUAUUCCGAGUAGUGCACAACAAAGUGAGAUUACUGAGUUGGAUGAAAUAUUAGCUAAUCUUACGGCAGACCCUGGACUGAGACGUCGAAUGCUUGAUUAUCCACUCAAUUGUCGUGAAGCAAUUCGUAGAUACUACCUUCAAAAGGAACCUUGUCAACCUAAGUCUCACAUCAUGCCAAGGAAAGCUAACGACAAUCGAUGUUUUAUUACAGGUUGGUUUGAUAAUUUUAAGUGGUUGGAGUAUAGUAUAGUAAAAGAUGCUGCAUUUUGCCGUUAUUGCUAUCUUUUUAAAUGUGAUUUUGAUAAAGUGGGUGGUAGUGGAAGUGAUGUCUUCACUACAAAAAGGUUUACAAAUUGGAGGAAAGGACCCAAAAAUUUUCGAGUCCAUGAGGGAGGUGUUGAAAGUCUUCAUAAUAAAGCUAUGCAACAAGCUAAAGACUUGAUGACCCAAAAACAACACAUUGAAACAUUUGUGAUCAAGCAAACUGAUGAAGCUCGCGUUAAUUAUCACACUUUACUGAGUGGAGCACUUGAUUGCACAAGAUGGUUGUUGCGACAAGGUUUGGCUUUUCGUGGGCACAAUGAAUCUUUGAAAUCGAGCAAUAGGGGUAAUUAUAUAGAGCUUAUGCAAUUUCUUGCCGAUCAUAAUGAGAAAGUUAGAAAGGUUGUGUUUGAGAAUGCUCCCAAGAAUCUCAAGUAUACUUCUUCCGAUAUUCAAAAGGAUCUUGUUCGUGCUUGUGCUAUUGAAACUAUUAAUGCAAUCACUAAAGAUAUGGAAGGUACAUUUUUUUCUCUUUUGGUUGAUGGAUCACGUGAUGCUUCCAAUAAAGAGCAAAUGGCGGUGGUAUUGCGUUAUGUGAACAAAAAAGGAGAAGCAAUUGAAAAGUUUUUGGGUGUUCAACAUGUCUCCUCUACAACUAAUAGCUCACUUGAAGAGGCUAUUGAGAGAUUGUUUGCUACAACAAAUUUGAGUAUGUCCAAGUUACGAGGACAAGGCUAUGAUGGAGCUAGUAAUAUGAGAGGUGAGUUAAAUGGUCUUAAAACAAAGAUUUUGAACAAAUACCCUCAAGCAUUUUAUAUUCAUUGUUUUGCACACCAACUUCAACUAGCUCUUGUAUUUGUGGCAAAGGAAAAUGAGGAUGUUGCCAAUUUCUUCAUCAAUGCUAAUAGAUUGGUGAAUCUUAUUGGAUCUUCGUGCAAGCGUCGUUGUAACAUCCCACAUCGCCCAGGGGAGUGAUCCUUAAAUGUAUAUUCCCAUCCCUACCUAGCACGAGGCCUUUUGGGAGCUCACUGGCUUCGGGUUCCGUAGGAACUCCGAAGUUAAGCGAGAAGGGGGCUAGAGCACUCCCAGGAUGGGUGACCCACUGGGAAGUUGCUCGUGAGUUCCCAAAAACAAAACCGUGAGGGAAUGGUAAGCCCAAAACGGACAAUAUCGUGCUACGGUAGUGGAGCGGGCCCGGGAAGUGGUCCGCCCCAGGCCGGGAUGUGACAAUUGGUAUCAGAGCCAAUCCCUGGCCGAAAGUGUGCCGACGAGGACGUCGGGCCCCUAAGGGGGGUGGAUUGUAACAUCCCACAUCGCCUAGGAGAGUGAUCCUUAAAUGUAUAUUCCCAUCCCUACCUAGCACGAGGCCUUUUGGGAGCUCACUGGCUUCGGGUUCCGUAGGAACUCCGAAGUUAAGCGAGAAGGGGGCUAGAGCACUCCCAGGAUGGGUGACCCACUGGGAAGUUGCUCGUGAGUUCCCAAAAACAAAACCGUGAGGGAAUGGUAAGCCCAAAGCGGACAAUAUCGUGCUACGGUAGUGGAGCGGGCCCGGGAAGUGGUCUGCCUCGGGCCGGGAUGUGACAGUCGUGAUGCAUACCGUGAGGGAAUGGUAAGCCCAAAGCGGACAAUAUCGUGCUACGGUAGUGGAGCGGGCCCGGGAAGUGGUCCGCCCCGGGCUGGGAUGUGACAGUCGUGAUGCAUUGAGAGAGAAACAACAAGAACAAAUUCAAAAAGCUCUUCAUCUUGGUAAUCUUGAAACGGGUAAAGGGUUAAAUCAAGAAAGUAGCCUCAUGCGUCCAUGUGAUACACGGUGGAACUCGCAUUAUGGUACUAUAGUUAGUAUUAUUGUUAUGUUUGAAGCCGUGGUGGAGGUGGUUGAAUGGAUUAAAAGUGAUCGCAACCAAGAUAAUCUCGGUGAAGCUACUGGGUUAUUCAAAGACAUACAAACUUUUGAUUUUGUGUUUCACCCUUUCUUGAUGAGACUUAUAUUGGGAAUUACAAAUGAGUUAUCACAAGCAUUGCAAAAGAAACAUCAAGAUAUUGUGAAUGCGAUGGCGUUAGUGGAAGUAUGCAAGCAAAGACUACAAUCCUUGAGAGAUGAUGACUUUGGGGACUUGUUGCAUGAUGUAGAAAAGUUUUGUGAGGAGCAUGAUAUUGUCAUUCCUAACAUGGAGGAUUUGCAUUUCGUACCUAGAAAAUCAAGGCGUAAAGCUCCAAAAAUCACAAACUUCCAUUACUAUCGUGUAGACCUUUAUUUUCAAGUCAUUGAUAUGCAACUAAAGGAAUUGAAUGAUCGCUUCAAUGAGGUAAACACCGAGUUGCUUUUUUGUAUGGCAUGUUUGAGUCCAGUGAAUAAUUUUGCAUCUUUUGACAAAGAAAAAAUUGUUUGUUUAGCCCAACUUUAUCCUCAAGAUUUUGAUCGUAUGGACCUCAUGAAUCUUCCAAUUCAACUUGACAAUUACAUUUAAGAUAUGAAGAUGUAUAGUGAGUUUUCAUCAUUGAGAGGAAUCAGUGAUCUUGCAAAAGAGUUAGUGAAGACUAGGAGGUGUGAAAGCUAUAUGUUAGUGUAUAAGCUUCUUACAUUGGCUUUGGUGUUACCAGUUGCAACCGCUUCGGUGGAGAGAGCUUUUUCUGCUAUGAAGAUUGUGAAAACACCAUUGCGUAAUAAAAUGGGAGAUCAAUGGUUGAGUGAUAGCAUGGUUGUUUACAUUGAGAGAGAUGUAUUUGCUUUUAUUGAUAAUGAGCCUAUUAUGCGACGUUUUCAUGACAUGAAACAUCGUCGACAACAAUUGUAAUUUGUUUUUAUUGAUUAAUUAUGGAAGACAUUAUUAUAUACAAAGAUUUAGUUGUUGCUAUUUUUUUUUAACCUUGCACUGUUUUAAAUUUGCCCAUCCUCCCGAGAAAUCCUGGCUUCGCCACUGCAAGUAACUGAGAUCGAAAUUCCUUGAGAGAUAUCAUACUUUCAUGACCUCUAAUUACUGUUCGAAAAGUGUUAUACUCAGAGGGUAACCCAUUUAGAGCAAGAAGGACAAUAUCCUCAUCAAGAAAAUAUACCCCUACAGUAGACAAGUAGUCCCUAGCUUCCUUGAUUCUAUGCAAAUAUUGAAAAAUAGAAUCUGUUCCCUUCUUGAUUGUUUGAAGAUUGGAUUUCAUUUGGAAAAUACUAGUUUUGGACAGUUGAAAACUGUUCCUUCAAUCGAAUGCACAAAUCUCUCGAACUAGUACUUCCAAUUGCACAAGAUAAAGCAACCGAUGAAAUAGUUGCAGUAAUUAAUUGCAUAAUAACCUUGUCAUGCAUUUUCCAUACUACAAACUCAUCAGUUUCAAUAUAAAGGACAAAUGUGGAGAAUUUAUACUAGAUUCACAUGAUGUAGAUGAGUGUUGAGCCGAAUGAGGCAUAGAACCGUCAACAAAACCAAGAAUACCAUUGAUUUCUAGGAGAAGUUGCAUCUAGAACUUCCAAUUCAGGUAAUUGGAGUCAUCAAGUUUGACAUUAAAUCAUGUUGAAAUCGUCGAGAUAAGAGUUGUAAUCGGAGAUUAAAGAAGUUGGAGUUGUUAUGCAAUCACCAAACUUGCAGAGUUCAAAGAUUUUAGAAGUCGAGAGAAAUCCUAGAAACCACCGACAGUGAAACUGUUCAAGAAAUCGAAGGCGAAAUCCAGAAAUUUGCAGAGGAAGACGAAGAAAUAAAGGAAGACAAAGACGUUGAUGACGAUAGUGGAAGCAAAAGGAUGAUCGAGAAAGCUUGACUUGACUCUGACACCAUGUAAAACUGUGCAGCCAUGUAUGAACACAGAGAGAAUCUUGUAGAGGAAGAAGGAGAUAAAAACUAACUUUCUUGAUAUAUUUCUUAAUGACCAAGUAAUACAAGCUUAGGCUAUUUAUACAUGCAUGCUUUACUACAAGAGUAACUAACUAACUAACCAAACCUCUAAUCUGUCCACUUUUCAAAAAGUUCAGUAAACCACACUAGAGCAAAAUUUUGUAAAAUAAAACAUAAGACUUUGUGUAUAUAUAUACACACACAAUUGUCACAAAUACAAUUUCACAACAUCUGAUGUAAGAGUAAUGUUAGGUAGAUCAAAUUGUAGACCAAAUUUGCAAAAUUAAAUGAUGUGUUACCAAUAGAAAUAAGCACGUUAAUCAAUAUUUAAGUAAUAAUUCAACCAUCAACUUCUAUAUCAUUUAGUUUUUUAAAUUUUAUCUACAAAUUUAAUCUUCUUAACAUCAUCCCUGAUCUAAUGACAUCAAUAUAUUGAUGUUAUCACAACUAAAUCUCUUAAUUAAUGCGUCUCACCUCUACCAACAAAGCGACACCAAUUUUUGUCUUAAUUUUAAGGCACACAUUGGUUUUGUUUUUGUUUUUUUCUUUUUUCUUUUUUUAGUUUUUGGUUUUUUUCUUUUCUGUUGACCAACGGCGGAGGCAGUAACAAGGCUAGGGUGGGCUCUAGGAUAGGGAGAGUUUUAGUUGUUUAAGGUUAAAAAUACUGAUAAUUUAGACUAUUUUAUUAUUUUUAAUUGUUAUAGCCCAUCCAAUAAUUAAAAGUUUUGAAAAAUAUGACUACUUUUAGAAAAAGUAAGAGUUAAUAAAUAUUAAAUAAAUUAUUUACUUUAAUCAAUAUCAAAAUUUAUUAUUAUUAUAUUUAAAAUCGUACACAAUGACACACACGUCCCAAUAAAUCUUUUUAUUUGAUUAGUUUCUAGGGAGUAGUCUAUAGUAAUUAGUUUAGGUUUCUAGGGGUGAUCAUCCGGUUUUAAAAAGUAAAUUUAAUAUUUUAUUAUUUUAGGUUUUCUAGACUUUUGGGGUACAACAGUGAUCAUUUUUCACUUUUCAGAAAGCCUUGGUCCCAUCUCGUCUGCAGUUCAUAGAAACCAAACAUACAAAUGAGAAAGUUUAUUGAUUUUUCUCAUCAAUAGGUAAGUUUUUUUAUCACUUUAUUCUUAUGUCUUGAUGAUUUUAUUUGUUUAUUACUUUAAUUUUAAGAGUUCGUACUUUAAAAAUUCAAUUUCAAUCUUAAUAUAUUUUUUCUGAUAGAUAUAGAUGGAGAGUGAAUUUUUAGCAGAUUCAAUGGUUGUGUACAUGAAAAGGAGCUUGCCAAAAUUGAUUCAGAAGAAAUAACAAAGGAUUUCAAUUCCAUUAAGGAUCGAAGGGCACAACUUGAAUAGGUACUUUUUCUUUUACUUGUUAAGUUGUUAUGACAAGAUUGAUGAUGUAUGCCUCUUUCGACUAUAAGUUGCAACUUCAAAUGAUUUCUUUGUUAAAUCUAGUUGAAACUUGCUUUAUUCAUAGUUAAAUUUCUUACUUUAAAUUAUUGUUGUCAGGCUUGUUAUUGUGUCACUUUAUGUAAAUAACAAAAAAAUUUAACCAUUUGAUCUCCUAGUAAUAAUUUUAGUCUAGCCCGCUCACCCACCAAAUAAUGGACAAGGAUUGUCUACCCUCCCACUUCUCGUGUCCUCCCAUGCUCUUUUGUUUUGUGUGGUCACGGUUAAGUCACGUCAACAUUUUAUAUUGUUUUUUUUAUAGAGAUAAUAAGGUAAAAAUGAAUAGUAAUAUAAAAUGUUAACGUAGCUUAACCGUGUCCCCAAAUAAUUCCAAGCUCUGCUUGCUGUUGACGUCAAGUCGAAUCCCAAUCUCGUCAGUGUAAACGUAAAUGUAAAUGCAUGCACAUAAGCCAUCAGUACUUGUCACGGCCGACACCUUUUCUGAAGUUUUUUUUGGGUACGCGGCCGUGACCUUUUCUUUUGUUUUUGUCCGUACGUGGCCGUUUCCCGUUGAAUACUACUAGAAGCUCCAAUCCUUGCCAUAAUAUUCUUUCAAUUUCUAUGGCUGCAAGUCAAUCCUUGCCAUAAUAUUCUUUCAAUUUCUAUGGCUGCAAGUAUGCAUUAGAUGAAGUCAGCGGUUCAGAACUAAUUACAUUAAAUGUCGCCUUAAUUUCAUAAAAUUCAACACGUAUUAAAUUUUAUUAUAAAUUGUCCUGGUGCAAUUCGAAAUUGUACCAUUUAGUGUAAAUUAUAAUUUUAUUCUGUAAAGUUUUUGAUAUGAAAUUCUAUUCUCCAACAUAAUAUAUGACUCGCAAAUGAAUGACAAACAAUAUAAAUUUCACUUUUCACACACCUCUCUCAAUUUCGGUCCUCGAUUAAAUGAAUUGUAGAAGAUUAAUGACAAAAACAAAAAAACAAAAAUAUGUAAAAAGUAAAAAUAAAUGUGUAAAUAGCAUUAUCCUAAAUUGAUAUUGUAGAAGAGCAAUCGAUUCUCAAACUCAAGUCACGAAUCAUGGGCCUUUUUUCUAUUUAAAUUUCAUGUAAUGCUGCCUUGGGCUUUUUAUAAAAAAUACUGGACUUCUUAGAAAUCUAGAAGCCAAUUCUACAUCACUUAUUUUUCUAAAACAAAUCUACAUGUCUACGUUUUUCAAGAGUUUUUUUCACCUGCAAACGCAUAUUUUCUCGAGUACAAUUCGACAGGCAUAAGUUAACAUUUUCACAGGCCACACUAAUCUGGAGAGGAUCCCUUCAACUGAAAAGAAUUGUGUAUGUACACACACAUAUAUGUACAUAAUGAAAUUUCUGAGUCUAGCUAGGGUAUGAAUUCUUCCAUGAAAGUUGAAACAAUAAGGAAUUUUAUGUUAAAGUUAUAAAGAGCUAAGUGUGUGGAUGAUUAUACAUAUGGAGGAGUUUAACCAAAAAGUGAUAAGCAAUUCAUCUAAGAGAUUCACAAUCACGUAUAUAGAAUAUGUUUUGCAUUAUAUAGAAGUUCCUCAACCAAGAUUGAAACUAAAAACACACAAAACAGUAUAAUCUAAUCAGACUAUUUUUGCUAGCAAAACGAUUGCAUUAAGCAAGUGCAACAAGGCAAUGUGAAAUGGGUCGCCAUUGCUAUGUUUGUAUUUAAUCAAACCUAUGACUUUGAUUGUAUUUAAUCAAAUUAUUCAAGCAGGUUAUCAGCAUGGUGAAGUUUUCAACCAGGAAAUGUGAAUUGGGUCGCCGUUGCUAUGUUUGUUUGCAAAACAUGGAUGGAUGUCAACCAUCAUGAAUAUUAAAAAAGAACAAGAAAGUGGAGAGUAGGUCAACCCAUGAAAUAUUAUCUUGUUAUAUCCAUGUGUUAAAAGAUUCAUUCGUGUUGCCAAAUUGUUUUAUAGUUCUCAACUUUUUUUUUAUGGUAUCGGAUCAUGUUGUCUCAUAUGUGAAGCCUAACGGUCACAUAUAUGCUCCAUGUCACUCAAUUUAUGUAGCCCACGUGUUAGCUUUGAAUCUUACAUUGGGAAAAGAGGAGACCUUACGUUUGCUUAAAAGUAAUUGAACUACUUAAUUACCAAUUAGUUUUUAUGAUAUAAUCUCAACUUUUUUCAAGGUGAUUUUUGGACAGAGGCUUAACGGUAUUAUCAUGCCAUUGCUGAGGAAAGAGGAUGACAUCCACGAUCAAGCCAAUAAUCUAAUCUACUGUUUGAAGGCUUACAGUUUUGUUCAUUUACUUGUGAUGAAAUGUGAUGAAAUUUGAAUUAUCGAAAAAUUUAUGUAAUUGUUUUGACCUUGAGGAAAAGCGGAUGCAUGACGCACUGAUGAAAUUCUAAACAAAUUCCAGACUCCUCAGGUUCUCCAAAUUUUGUUUUCACUAGGUACGUGUGGCCUUUCUUCAACUUUGUAUCAAUUGACUUUUCUCCAUUCAUCCUUAACCUUUUUGAAAACAUUUCUAGUGUACAACGGAGCAGUAUGUUUUAACAGGAGUGAGUUCACCUUCACCAAUCUGAUGGCUUAUGUUCCGAUUCAAAUCUUCAUCACUUUCUCUUUCCACAAUUUUCUUCAGUGCUCUUUCAUUUUUCACAACAAACUCUCAAAAAUUUGUUCUUGAUGUAACAAACCCAUCAAAGAAUGAAUUAAUCCGGUCACUUCGUCCAGUAGUAUUCAUCAUUGUAAAAAAUAUGCCAGAUUAUAUAGGGGAACCCAAGAGUUACCUAUUUCUUAUAGGGGUGUGCUAUCCACACACCAUAUUUUACUUCUCACACACCCAUUGAUAAUUUAUGUCCGUUGAUCUUCUUUAAUUCAUCCGAUCCGACGGUCGAAAAUUAAAAAGGUGUGUGAGAAGUAAAAUAGGGUGUGUGGAUAUCUCAUCACUUUCUUAUAUUUGAGGUAGCUACACAUUUUCUUGCCAUUGCUUCAAGCCAAGUGUCAAACAACCACAAAAAUGUCACCUUAUCUUAAAUUUCAGGUAGACGGGCCAUGGAUCCACUCCAACAACACCAAUAUUGUCCCCACUUGGGCACCUGCUCAAUCUGUCAGGUGUGGGGUUUUAAUACAAAAUGCCUCAGUGUUAGUUAGAGUGGGGUAAUUCUAUUUCAAGGGCUUGUUCUCAAGGCUUCUGGCCGAUGCGGGACAAAGGAAUUCUAACACUCCCCCGCACGUGAGACCCCAUUUUAUGGGUCACAAAUGGGUCACACGUGAAGUUCCACACAUCGGCAACCACAUGGAGCCAAGCCGGGGCUCACCCAUUCGUGUAGGGACCCACCCAUUCACGUGGCAUCUCUUGGCCUACGUGGAGCCAAGUCAAGGCUCACCAAUUCGCGUGGGGUCAAAUGGGACCCACCCGUUCACAUGGCAGUACGAGCAUGUCCCCUAACUCUGAUACCAUCUUAAAUUUCAGGUAGACGGGUCAUGGGCCCACUCUAACAACACCGAUACUGUCCCAUUUGGCCACCUGCUCAAUCCGUCAGGUGUGGGGUUUUAAUACAAAAGGCCUCGGUGUUAGUUAGAGUGGGGUAAUUCUAUUUAAAUGCCUUGUUCUCAAGCCUUCUGGCCGGUGUGGGGCAAAGGAAUUCUAACACUCUCCCGCACGUGAGACCCCAUUUUCUGGGUCACAAAUAGGUCACACGUGAAGUUUCACACAUCGGCAACCACAUAGAACCAAGCUGGGGCUCACCCAUUUGUGUGGGGACCUACCCAUUCACAUGGCAUCUCUUGGCCUACGUGGAGCUAAGUCGGGGCUCACUCAUUCGAGCAGGGUCAAAGGGGACCCAUCCGUUCACAUGGCAAUACGGGUCUGUCCUCUAGCUCUGAUACCAUCUUAAAUUUCAGGUAGACAGGCUAUGGACCUACUCCAACAACACCGAUAAUGUCCCCACUUGGCCACCUGCUCAAUCCAUCAGGUGUGGGGUUUUAAUACAAAAUGCCUCGGUGUUAGUUAAAGUGGGGUAAUUCUAUUUAAAUGCCUUGUUCUUAAGCCUUAUGGCCGAUGUAUGACAGAGGAAUUCUAACACCUUAGUCUCAUCUUGUAGAAGAGAACAUCUAAAUUGUAUUGUCUAUAAAUGGUGGUUUACUCUGGUGAAUGGGAAAAGAAAUUAGCCACCCUUCCAUUUUCAUCACAUUGGAAUUCCAUAGAAAAAAUUAGGAUUCUCAGCUUGCUUUUAUCUUAAGUAAGGACUGAUUGAGCAUUAUGUCCAUCUAAUUGCUUGUGCCGAACAUUCCUCAAGUGGUUAUAAGAAUCUCUGUUACUGAAACCAAUGUGCCCAUCACCUAGAAUUGAAGAAACUUUUGUGAUUGGCAAACAAGAAUGAACUAGAUAGGGAUUGAAGUCACCAUCAUGAAUCAAGAACACUAUAACGUCGACGGAACAUAUUUAAGAAUGAAAAUGUAGUCAUAUUGAACUGAAAACUGGUGUAGAUGCUACUAUGAUGUUAAACUUCAUUAUAUUGAGCACAUGUUUACCGCAGCAACCAUACUGUAUGACUGCUCCAGAGAGUACCUAGAUUCCAAAAACGCACCAGCCGAUGUCUAUAAUGGCUGAUAAUCAAUUGGAUCAUUAAGUAAGGCAAUGUCACAUGUUUGUAGUGCCACAAAACACAUCAAGAAUUUUGGUACUUUGCUUUAUAUUUUCAAAAUAGGACAUUCAAAUUCCUUUGGAGAAAAAUGUGAUCAAACGGAUGAAUUUUGGAGUGAUUCAAAUUGGAGGACGUUCGUGAGUUCCUUGGCUUGUUUGUAUCAAAAUUUUGGCUUUUUCUACUAAACGAUUAUUUUCUAGCGAUGAAAUAAAGAAGCAGCAGGUGAUGAUCAAAAGUGACCUUUUUGGGCUUAAUUGUAAUUUUUGGAGCCCAAGAUGACCUCUGAUGGGUUCGUGGCCUUCUGGAGAAGUGUUCAGAAUAGUUCAAGCUUUAAAUCCAUCUAUUUUGGGCUUGUUUUGGAGUAUAUAUGGGUCUAAACAUGGGUGUGCAGACUUUGAGCGAUUUUUACUGGUCAUGUGUUUUCUAUUUUAUUUUAGUUUAUUUGGCUUCCUAGUCCAAUUCUAAGACCUUUCACAAGGAGGAUUUAAUUAUAGUAGUAUAAGUAAGCCUUUUGGCCGGCCCUAAUUCUUUCUUCUCUAUGCGAUAUUUGAGAGAUGAAUUUGGCCAAAGCUUAGAGAUUUUCAGACCUAUACAUUCAAGGUGUUUUCGAUCUUUUUCUAUUUUAAUGAAAUUCCUUUUGAUUUUAAUUAUGAAUAUUCAUAAAGAAUUCUCUUUGUAGGGUGAGGCCAUGAGCCUUAGUAAGAAUAUGUAGUUUCUUUUCAAUUUGCUUAUGAUCAUAGGCAUGCAGGUUUCAAAUUAUUAAUCAUCGGUUUAAACUAUCUAAGUGCCUUGAUGAUUCGCGACCAUUAGGAUGUUUAGAAAAGUAAUUUGAUGCAAUUUUGGUCAGAGGUCGAUCCCUGAAAUUGACGAAGGCUUUUUGUGGUUAAUAUGUGUAAGUUCACUUAGGAUAAAUAUCACGUCUUAAGGGUUGAAUGGUUUUUCAGAGGGUUUUCACAAAACUUAAUAAGUCAUGCAUGUUUAUAUUUAAUUUGAAUACCACAGAAGGAUUGUAUGUUUGGUAUAUGCUCUAUGUUGGGGAUCCAAGUAGGCAUAUAUUAUGAAAAAGUUAACUUUCAAAAUAUGCAUGUAAUAAAGGUCAUAAGUAAUUGGGAGAACUACGUAGGAUUGUUAAGUUGACAGCGAAACCCUAAUGCUUUCUCAAUUUGAUUUCUAAAAACUGUUUCUUUCUCCUUCUCUUUAAUAUUGCAGAUUUUUCUACUCUUUAAAAAUUAAAUUCGUUUUCAUUUAAUUAGGUCAUAAAAUCUAUCUUUCAAAAAUUUUGCUUUUAAAUAAUUAAUUGAGAUUUUGUUUAAUACUAAUUAUUUAAUAAUUCUUGUGGAGAACGAUCUUGCUAGAGUCAUCUAACUACAAUAUCCUUGUUACUCUUGCAAAAAUUAUAGGUGUUUUUAACCAUUUUGCGUGUAUGGUAAAAAUCCUAUCAAACUCCAUUGCCAUUGAAUCCAACAUAAACCUUCGUUGUAUCGAUUCAUGAUUACUUGUCAAAAUCCCAGAUUGUGUAUUGGAUUCGUUGUGGUGAAAAAAUCAACAGGAAUCCAAAAAUUGUUGAACCAAAAUGCGACUAAGUAGACAUACGUAAUGGAUCCAAUGUAAACGUAACAGUGCAUGUAAACAUACAUGCAUGUGAAGUUGGUCCUGGCCCCUUCUAUAGUCUCCGUGUAAACAUAUACGAUGAGCAGAUAAAUCAUUUACGUUUUAUUGAUGAUUUGUGAUCUACCUGCUUACUUGGAAUAUCAGCUUUUCAUUGAUGCCAUGAUAUUACGUAUUUAUUACAGUUUACAACAAGAUAUUUGGGAUUCUUGAUUUGUUACCAUUGGUUUCUUCAAAAUGAUAUUAUAUUGAGACGAUUUAUAACUGUUAGUUUCUUCAGAAUGAUUUUAAAUUGAGAAUUUAUGAGAUUUACCCAUCUUCUAGAAAUAAAUUAUUUUUUGCUAUUGUCUUGUUUUUCGUACUUACGAUGUAGUAUGAUUUUGUCUAUUAUGCGGGUUAUUACAGUAAGGGGUUAGUGUGUUCGAAAUUUUUAUUUUGCCCACUUACAUCUUUUGUUUUAUGCCUCUCUAGGAUCUAGUAGACUUUGAAGCUUUUGAUAUCAAGAAUGGUGGCAUAAUCUUCCCUCAUCAGUGUAGGGAUUAUUCUUAGUAAUUUCUAAUUAAUAUCUUCAUAUGUGUUACAUUGUAUACUUUCGUUGUAGAUAUUUAGAUACUCUGAUUUCUAUUACAUUUAAUUUAGGAUUCAUCACACUCAAUGUGCACUCUACUCUAUUUUUAUAUUCUUACUUUAAUUUAUUUGUACUUUUACACAUUAUCACUUGCAUGUCAUGGCUUCAUCACUUUUCAGUUAUCGACCAACAUGCUUCUGUUUCGAUAUCCACGUGGAUUUCCGAGCCCGGGUAUGUCAAGUCCAUAUUUAUUAUUUCAAAAUUUAUUUAUUUGAAACAAUAGAAGUUGAACUUGCCAUGUCAUAUUCAAUCUCAUCCGCUCAUAGUGGGGCUAAUCCAAUGGCUUAAGAGUUGUGUCAAAAGUUGUAUUCAAAAUAGUGCAAUGGAUUUGGGGACACGCUUUUGACACCCAUUUAUAUGGCCCAUUACAAAACGAUUUACAUUCAUUUAUAGUAAAUAAAAUAAACAAAUACGGUUCUACAAAUAAAUACUAAAUGAUAAAUCUCUGUUUAUUACCCUCAAGUUUCGUGGUUUUCAACAUUUAGUAUAAGAAGUUUUUUUCGUCAUAGAGUCAUACCUAAAGUGUUAAUUUUGGGACAAUCUCAUACAUUCUCAUAUAUCUGUUAAGUUUUCUGUUAGAACUUACGUUAACUGAUGACGUGGCUCCCACAUAGACAAUUAAUGAGUGCCACGUGUCAAUAUGGGCCCACUUCAAUAUUAACAAAUUAAAUAAAUACAAAAACACAAAAAAAAAACCCCACCCAUCUUCUACCUCACCCCAACCCUGUCCCUUCCUUUUUUCCUCUGCAGCCCCUGAUAACAAUUUUACCGUCUAUGCAAAUAGGAUCAAAAUCACAUGAAAUACUUGCAAGAAUACAAGGAUAUUGUAGUAUAGAUGCUCAUGAAAGGUCGUUCUCCUCAAGGACUAAUUGAAUAAUUUAUGUAGAAACAAUUCCUAAUUAACUACUUAGAAUUAAAAAUUGAGAAAAGAGAUUUUGGAAUUGGAUACUAUUAAAAACAAAUUUUAAUUAAAAAUAAUAUGAUAAAAGAAAAGAGUUUUAAAUACCAAUUUAGAAAAGCACUAGGGUUUCACCAUCACCUAGCAAUCCUAUUAAUUCUUACCAACUACUUAUGAUCUACACAUGCCAUUUUGAAAGUUAGGUUUUCCUAAUUUAUAGUCUACUUGGAACCUCCAACAUAAAACAUAUAUCUAACAUGCAAUCCGUCCAAACGUUGGGAUCAAAUCUGAACAUGAGAGACUCAUUAUGCUUUAUGAAAACCCUUUCAAAAACCAUGCAACCCUUAAGACAUGGUGUUCAUCUUAAGUGAAAUUACAAUUAUUAAUCAUAAGAAGUUAGCGUCAAUUUCAAGGAACCGUCCGACCAAAAUUGCAUCAAAUUACUUUUCUAAAUAUCCUAAUGGUGAUCAGGCAUUAAGACAAUUAGAUAGUUUUAAUCACAGUGAUCAAUAAUUCAAAAUAUGCAUGCUGUUGAUGCACAAAAUCAGUGAGGACUUUGGUACAACAGAAAAUGUUAAGUUUGUGACCUUCGCUAGAUUGCUUCGGUCACUAGUGUGGAUAAGUAUGUAAAUGGAUAGAGGCAGGAAAACAAACACAAGAUGUACGUGGUUCACCCAGAUUGGCUACGUCUACGGAGUAGAGGAGUUCUCAUUAAUUGUGAAGGGUUUACACAAGUACAUAGGUUCAAGCUCUCAUUUAGUGAGUACUAGUGAAUGAUUUAGUUCAAAUAACAUUAGGAAAUAUUGUGGGAGAAUGAUCUUCUUUUAUAGAAGAGAGUUUCUAGCUUUGUUUUGACAUUGACACGUGUUGUGUUAUGAUUGGCUUCUGAUGUUGACACGGGUCGCGCUAUGAUUGGCUUCUGAUGUCGACACGUGUCGCGCUGUGAUUAGCCUCUUGGUUGGAGGGAAACUCUUCUGGGUCCUUGACAGUAUAACGUUGACCGGUGCUUAGUUUCGGGAUUGGUCAAGUAUGGUACAAACAGUGCUCCCCUAAGUUCCCGAGUGAGGGAAGCUCCUCAGUUUGGGACUUGCAAGAUCCAAACCGCUGAGUAAUCACGAAACUUCUAAGUAUCGAAGUGUGGUAUCGUCUUCACUUGCCUUACGUAUCUCAUAGGUAGAUGUGGCAUCUUCUUUAGAAGUACUUUUCCUCCAUCCAGGGGUGGUAUCUUUAACUGGUGGAAAUGCACAAGGUAAUGUAUCAAUUUGACUUGAAGCUUACUUGUAGUUUCAGGCUUGGUCAAGCGCGAUAAAAACCAUUUAGUAGGAGUCCCCCAAGUCGCCGAGCUAGGAGAUCUGCCAAAAGAGGUGAUAGACAAGGUAAGCAAUCAGAGCUCUAAGCAAUCAGUCGCAGAUCAAAAGUUUGAUUUCGAGUUCCGGCUGAUUGUUCUCAUUCUCCCUAUCUUGCAAGCAGCAUGAAGGAUAAAGAGAAGAAAAAGGAGAAGAGAUGAUAUGAGAUACUUUUGCUUUUGAAGAAGUAACUUUCCACAGGCUUAUUCUUGAACUGGGCUGAAGGGUUUUCUAGUUUCCUCCAGAGUAUAAAGCCGACUCAAGAAUUUGAGGGUUAAAACAAGUCCAUCAAAUCAAGAGUGCGUUCGACCUUGAUGAUAUGGGAUACUUUUGCUAUUGACAAAGUAAUAGAUGAAAUGGCACGUGUUCUGUUACGCUUGUCUCCACAUGCUUCCUUGUAUCCUUCUCACUUGCCCUAUCUGUUCCUCGGGCAGAUGUGGUAUCUUUUCUGGAAGCAUAAGAUGUUGAAGAUGAGUACUCGAGAGCAAUGCCAGGUAAGUAAUUAGGCAAGGGGUUCCAGGCAGUCAGUUCCUGACUGGAAGCUUGAUUCCAAGUGCUGACUGAUUGCUUUCUUUCUCCUUGUCUUGCAGUUAAGAACAAGGCCAAAGGAACAGGGAAAAAGCAUGAUAUGUGAUACUCUUGUUGUUAACCCUGAUGAUAUGAGAUACUCUGGCUCUGGUAUGGCUUGUUUGCAGAGGUAUUAUCGGGGGGAAAAUAAGUUGAGUAUUUCGAGAGACUCUGCUGAGAGUGCCCUCUCGGAUGUGAAGAAAAGUUGAGCAUUUUUUUUAUUUGCAGGUUUGCUUGGCUCUAGAGGAUGAAGGUCGACAUAUAUAGGAAUUAUCCCAACAGCGAGUAGUAAUGUUGUUCCUUUACCAUUCUCGGUCAUAGAAAUGUAGUGGAAGCUACAAGAUUCACGUGUUUCAACUUUGUCAGAGCACUUUGAAAAAGUGGUCUGUGGUAUCUGGAAAGCUGAUGUUGCAUGUGAAGAUUGUAGAUAAGCUUUAUCCAAGGAAAUCUGGCUCUCGAAGUUCAGAGAGUGAUGCCUUUUCGAUUUUCGAACAAGCAAUUAUGUCGGGGACCUGGCUCUCGAGAUUCGAAGAACGGUGCCUUUUCGAUAUUUGAGAAAGCAAUCAUGUUAGGAGUCUGGCUUUCGAGAUUCGGAGAGCGGUGCCUCUUCGAUUUUUAAGAAAGCAAUCCUGUUAGGAGUCUGGCUCUCAAGAUUCAGAGAGCGGUGCCUCUUCGAUUUUUGAGAAAGCAAUCCUAUUGUGAGUCUGGCUCUUUAGAGUCGGAUAACGGUGCCUCUUCGAUUUUUGAGAAAGCAAUCCUGGUGAGAGUUUGGCUCUUGAGAUUCGGGAAGUGUUGCCUCUUCGAUUUUUAAGCAAGUAAUCAUGUUGGGAGUGUUUUCUCGAUAUGAGUAAAGGUUGGGCAUUUUUGUCAGUCUACCUUGCCACGGAGCACGGAGGUUGACACACACAUGGACUUUCCAGUUAUCAAGCAGUGGUGCUGUUCCUUUACCCUUGUGGGUAAUGGUAGGGUAGCUGGACCUUCAAAAUUUAUGUGUCUAAAGUUUGUCAGAGAUCUUUGGCAAAGUUAUCUGUGGUACCUGAGGAGCUGAUGUUGCGUGUGGGGAUUGUCGACAUAUUUUACUCAGGAAAAUCUGCUUCUCGAAAUCUGGAGAGUGGUGCCUCUUCGAUUUUUGAACCAACGGCCCUGUUGCGCUUUCUGUUAUAAGGCACCAAUUAUGUGCAAGAAGUACGUUCAAAGAGUUAUUGCUUGUAGGAAUUUUCCCUUUAUUUUUGUACUACAAAGAUUUAUUGCACCUCAUUUCUCUUUCAUCAUUUCUGAGAAUGUCUGGCCCAUCCGACCGUCGUUUUUGACUUGAACUUUGGUGAAGAGGCAGCCAUGCCUUCUCAAGACAACAUAUAUGGCGCCCAUCCAUUCUUAUCCCUACUGGUCCUCUUACCGUUGGGGACUCUGUGAUGAAGAAGAAUGAUAUGACCGCUGCGGUGGUGGCCAGGAACCUUCUCACUCCCAAAGAUAACAGACUACUUUCCAAACGGUCUGAUGAGUUGGCUGUUAAGGAUUCUCUGGCUCUCAGUGUUCAGUGUGUGCAGGUUCUGUGUCUAAUAUGGCCCAACGCCUAUUUGCUCGAACCCGCCAAGUUGAAUCAUUGGCGGCUGAAGUGAUAAGUCUCAAACAGGAGAUCAGAGGGCUCAAGCAUGAGAAUAAACAGUUGCACAGGCUCGCACAUGACUAUGCUACAAACAUGAAGAGGAAGCUUGACCAGCUUCAAGAAUUUGAUGGUUAGAUUUUACUUGAUCAUCAGAGGUUUGUGGGUUUGUUCCAAAGGCAUUUAUUACCUUCGUCUUCUGGGGCUGUACCGCGUAAUGAAGCUCCAAAUGAUCAACCUUCGGUGCCUCCUCCUUCUGGGGUUCUGCCCAGUACUGAGGCUCCGAAUGAUCACCCUCCGGUGCCUACUCUUUCUGGGGCUCUGCCGACUGCUGAGACUUCUCCUGAGCAACCUUUGUGAAGGCUCCCUCUUGUUUGUUUAUUUUGAUUCAUGUAUAUGUACAUAUUUGUAACUUAUCGGAGAUAUCAAUAAAUAAGUUUUGCUUCAUUUCAACGUGUUGUGUUAAAUACACCAAAGUCUUCUUCACUAAGUUCUUUGAAUUUUUCUUUUGUUGAAGCUUGUAUGUUGAAGCUUUGUGAGUGAAGCAUGUAUGUUGAGGUAGUGCUCCCUUAAUUUCCCGAGUGAGGAAAACUUCUCGGUUGGAGACUUGAAAAAUCCAAGUCACUGAGUGGUCGUGAGACUUCCGAGUAUCAAGGUACAAUAGCAUAUGAUAGGAGUCCCCAAGUCUCCUGGUCGAGAGAGUUGAUGAAUGAGGCAUUUCCUUUCUAAGUGGUAGCCCAAAACUCCUCAUUCAUAUAUAUUUGAUAUGAAAGUUGUUAGGCCUAAAGUAGAUGAGGCCUAGGCAAUUUUUUUUUUUAUUUUUUUUUUUCAAAUUUUCGAAUUUUCUAAUUUCCGAAUUUUUGAAUUUCCGAAUAUAUAUAUAUAUUUUUAAGCUUUGUAUGUAAAGCUUUGGUGUUGAAACUUUGUUGGGUACCAUGAAUUAAUUUUGCUUCAUACUAUCUUAAUCAAGAGUGUGAAGCUUUUGUGGGUGAAGCUUUUGUGGGUGAAGCUUUUGUGGUGGGUAAAGCUUUUGUAGAUGAAGCUUUUGUAGUGGGUGAAGCUUUUGUAGGUGAAGCUUUUGUGGUGGGUAAAGCUUUUGUGGGUGAAGCUUUUGUGGGUGAAGCUUUUAUGUGGAAGCUUUGGAGUUGAAGCUUUGUAGGUGAAGCUUUGGUGUUGAAGCUUUGUAGGUGAAGGUUUGGAGUUAAAGCUUUUGUUGGGUACCAUGAAUUGAUUUUGCUUCACACUAUCUUGAUCAAGAUAGUGUGAAGCUUUUGAGAAUUUGUAGUUGUCCUCCAUUGAUGAAGCUUUUGUUGGUGAAGCUUUUGUUGGUGAAGCUUUUGUGGUGAAGCUUUGUUGGGUAUCAUGAAUUGAUUUUGCUUCACACUAUCUUGAUCAAGAUAGUGUGAAGCUUUUGCGAAUUCAUAGUUGUCCUCCAUUGAUGAAGCUUUGUUGAAUUUCCCAAUUUUUUUUUGGGAAACUAGAAAUUUGAAAAUGUGGGAGAGACAACAUAUACAAAUUUUGCUUCCACACUGUUGAGCAAGAGAUUGUGAUGCAAGCAACACCUUGUAGUAGUUGAAGGUUUGGAUGAACCAUAUAAAUUGAAUUUGAUUCGAACAGUUUUGAUCAAGAGUGUGUGAAGCUUUCUACGAAGUUGUAGUUGCCCUUCAUUGAUGAAGCUUUUGUUGGCACCAUAAAUUGGUUUUGCUUCACACUGUCUUGAUCAAAAGUGUGUGAAGCUUUUGAGAAUUGUGGUUGAACUCCUUUGAUGAACCUCUUGUUGGCACCAUAAAUUGGUUUUGCUUCACACUGUCUUGAUUAAGACUGCGUGAAGCUUUUGAGAAUUGUGGUUGCCCUCCAUUGAUAAAGCUUUUGUUGGCACCAUAAAUUGGUUUUGCUUCACACUGUCUUGAUCAAGAGUGUGUGAAGCUUUUGAGAAUUGUGGUUGAACUCCUUUGAUGAAGCUCUUGUUGGCACUAUAAAUUGGUUUUGCUUCACACCGUCUUGAUCAAGAGUGUGUGAAGCUUUUGAGAAUUUUGUUGCCCUCAAUUGAUAAAGCUUUUGUUGGCACCAUAAAUUGGUUUUGUUUCACACUGUUUUGAUCAAGAGUGUAUGAAGCUUUUGAGAAUUGUGGUUGAACUCCUUUGAUGAAGCUAUUGUUUGCACUCUAAAUUGGUUUUGCUUCACAUUGUCUUGAUCAAGAGUGUGUAAAGCUUUUUACGAGUUGUAGAGUUUGCAUUGUUACAGAGGAGAAAUGUCUAAAGCAGAUGUAAGAGGGUUGGAUAGCUUGAUCUUUGUAUGCCAUGCACUAAAGUUGUUGUUGGGCAAUAAGAUUUUGUUGGUGACUAUAACUCUUGUUGGGAAUAAGUGCUCCCCUAGUUGAGUUGUCAAGCUUGAGGGUUUUUGAUUAUUUGUGAAUGCUAAGAGUUCACAUGUACAAGUUGUACCACUCGUCUUCUGGUAGGUGGAAUGAAUGGUGAGUUGCUUUCAUCAAUUGGUUGGUGGUACGAAGGUGAGUUCCUUCGUCACUUUUCAUCACAUUUCAUCACCUGGUUGGUGGCACGAAGAUGAGUUCUUCUUUACUUGGUUGGUGGCAUGAAUGGCAAGUUGCAAAAUGAUAUUAGAGUACAGGUUGUACAUUUCAUCACCUAGUUUGUGGCAUGAAGGAGAAUACGGGUUGUACAUUUGAUCACCUGGUUGGUGGCAUGAGUAGCAAGUUGCCAAAUGAUCUUAGAGUACAGGUUGUACAUUUCAUCACCUAGUUGGUGGCAUAAAGGAGAGUACAGGUUGUAUAUUUCAUCACCUGGUUGGUGGCAUGAAGGAGAGUACGGGUUGUAUAUUUCAUCACCUGGUUGGUGGCAUGAAGGAAAGUAUGGGUUGUACAUUUCAUCACCUGGUUGGUGGCAUAAAGAUGAGUUCCUUCUUCACAUUUCAUCACCUGGUUGGUGAGAAUAAGGGCAAGGUGUCGAGGCACAUUGUAGCAAGUGUCGAAUGACACAAAGUAUGUUGUACCCUUGCAAAGCACAUUUGGCUUAUGUAUGAAUGUGUUGGAAUGAAUGAUUGAACGAAUAUACUGUGAAGCUGUUCUUUUUUUUGUAUAGUCUUGUUGACAUAUACUUAGACUUUGUUUCAUGUUGGAAGCAUUCAUGUUGAAGCUUUGAACCCAAAUGUUUCAUUGCUAGGAAUGUAAGAGGAUUAGGACCGAUUUGUCUAAAUCACAUUUUUAUUGAAUUCAUGACAAAUAGUCUUCGUUACAUAGGAUGCUGAAUGGCUAAAGCUUAACACUUGUACAAUGUGAGUUUACUCGUAAUAGUACUUCAAGUGAUCAGGGUUCCUUGGAUGGCCAAGAGUCUUGCCAUCGGAGCUUCUAAGCUUGUAGAAGCCAGAGCGACUGAUGCAACAACUUCAAACGGUCAAUCCCAGUUUGGACUAAGUGUUCCUUCACUCGGGACUCUGUCGCAGAGUAAUCUUUUCUUCAAUGUUGGAGUAUCGUGUCUCUGCAUCUUGUAAGGCUUUGCUAGCGUAGUAGACAUGACGUUUGACAUUACCAUCAUUUUUGAAUGAGAACGGAACUUACUGCUGAAGCCGAUACCGACAGAUAGAUAAUGAGAGUGUCACCAACCUCAGGUUUGGAGAGCAGAGGGGCUUUACUCAUGUAGUAUUUGCGGUUCUUGAAUGCCUUGGCACAUUCAUCAGUCCAUGUAAUGUACUUCUUACUUCCCUUAAGUGCUUUGAAGAAAUGAGCACAUCUGUCUGUGGCUUUAGAUGAACCUAGUAAAGGCUGCCACCUUACGAGUAAGGCUCUGGAUGUCUUUUAAAGUUAUCGGUUCCUUCAUGUCGAGGAUUGAUUUGAUCUUCUCGAGAUUAGUCUCAAUGCCUCAUUGGCUUAUCAUAAAGCCUAAGAAUUUGCCAAAGCCUACGCCGAAGGCAUAUUUGUUGGGGUUCAACCUCAUUCGAUACCUCGUCAGAAUGGUGAAAGUUUCAGAUAGGUUAGCGAUGUGUUGGUCAGUAUGUUUGCUCUUGGCUAGCAUAUCAUCAACGUAAACUUCAAUGCUCUUCCUAAUCUGUUCGGCGAACACUGAAUUGACUAGUCUCUGAUAAGUCGCACCUGCAUUCUUUAGGCCGAAGGGCAUGACUUUAUAGCAAUAUAGUCCUCUAUCAGUAGUGAAGGCUAUGUGUUCUUGGUCCGGAGGGUUCAUGAGGAUUUGGUUGUAUCCUGAGUAAACAUCCAUGAAGCUCAGGAGUUCACACCCUGCUGUAGAGUCUAUAAGUCUGUCAAUGAGAGGAAGAGGAAAGCUAUCAUUCGGGCAUCAUUUGUUUAGAUCGGUGCAGUCGACACACAUUCUCCACAAAACCUUUUAGAGCAAGAGACUUUCUUUGGUUGGAUUUUUCUUAACAAUGACCACAUUUGUUACCCAUGUUGGGUAAUUGACUUCACGGACGAAGCCUAUGCCUUUGAGUUUUUCAACUUCUGCCUUCAUUGCUUUGUAUUGUUCAGCAUCAUAAGAUCUUCGCUUCUGUCUCACUGGCUUGGUCUUGGGGUAAAUACUCAAGCGAUGACAUAUGAUAUCGGGAGAGAUGCCUGGCAUGUCCUCGUAUGACAAGGCGAAGACCUCAGUGUUCUCUUGCAAAAAAGAGAUCAAUGUCAACCGAAUAGGUGGUGACAAGGUGGUGCCAAUCUUCACCAUGCGAUCUAGAUAAUCUUUUGAUAUAGAAACCUUCUCCAGCUCUUCAGUAGGUUGUGCUUGCUGGGUGAAAGAGUCAUCUCGAGAAUCGUCAGGUUGACUAUUGCCACCGUGAAGAUCCAAGUUGGCUUUGUCCGGGCUGGUCUUUAUGACUUGGUCAUGUAUAGAAAAGGUUUCCUUGGGCACAUACAGGUGUUGUUACUUGACUGAAGUGUUGUAACAUUACCGUGCACUAAGUUAAUCUCAUCUGAUGUAACCAUUGCCAUAGGGGGUUGGAAAUUUCAUCAACAACAUAUGUGUGGAUACCAUGGCCUUGAGAUCAUUGAUGCAUGUGCGUCCAAAGAUGACAUUGUAUGCCAUUGGGCAAUCAACUACCAUGAAGUUAGUGGUAAUGGUAGCUGUGUAAGAGCAUGUACCAAUGGUGAAAGGUAAGUGUAUGCUCCCCAAAGGUUGCACAAUAUCACCGAAGAAGCUUAUCAGAGGAGAAAUCAAGCGAUCGAGCAAGUGUUCAACUACAUUAAGUGCCUUAAAAGCUUCAGCAAACAUGAUAUUGACUGAAGCCUCCGUGUCUACCAGGAUUCGUCGUACUUCAAAGUUAGUUAUGUGAGCUUCCACGAUCAGUGGGUCGUUGUGAGGGUAGAUGAUACUUCUUUCUUCCUUAGGGUAGAAACACAUUGGAUCCCAAUUAGGCUUUUGAUACUUGCCUCCUCUGAUGUCUUCCACGUGAAACACUUAAUGGCCAGACCUUAAAGCUCGUUCACUAUUUUUCAUAGCCCUGUUGGAAGAUUUAGAUAUGGGUGUGCCACCACUUAUGGAAUAUAUCACAUUCACCUGGCGUUGGUUACGGUUACCCCUUGGAGGGUGAAGGAGGAAUUGAUCAAUUUUUCCUUCACGUGCCAAAGCUUCAAUAUGAUCACGAAGGGUGAUACACUUCUCGCCGUCAUGGCCGUUAUGCUCGUGGUAGCAGCAAAAGGUGCCCGUGUUCUUCGUAGGCUUGUAACCCCACUGCCUCGGCAUUGGCUUCCGUAUCAGGUGUGCUAUGCUGGGGUAAAUGGCCACGCAUAUGGCGUUCAAAGGUGUGUAUGUCUCAUACCUCGGGGUAGAGUCUGUCUUGACACGUGCUUGGCCCACUGUGUUGAUUGCCUGGGGGCGGGCAUUAUCGUGGCGAUACCCUUGGUUAUCGCGAUAAUGUCCCUUACUCCUUUUACUAAAAUGAGAUUGGUGAGGAUGGAAAUCUUUCAUUUUGCCCUGAGAUUGAUAUGUCUGUUGACUUGGCGAAGUAUUAAGUAAGGCAGGGGGAGGCACCGCUGCCAUUUGGAAGGUCGAGGUCUUCUCAUUUGGUUUGAUCUGGCUUCUACUCCCUACUUGCUGAUAAGGGAUGGCUAUGAGGGGUUCCCUUGGUACGUCCUUGCCUCGGCGGAGGCAUGGUUAUAAGCCUGGGCCAUCACCUAAGUCUUCCAAGUGUUGGCAUUGAUCAUGUACUUAAAGAAAUAGUCACCUAGGCCUGCCAUAAAGGCUUUGAGGGCAGUCUUGUCGUCUGCCUCGGCACAAUGGGACUACUCAUGGCUGAAGCGACCAACAUACAUACGUAAUGACUCGUCUGGCUUCUGGCGAAUAGUGUACAAGUCAUCCGCAGAGUGCAAGCAAUCGGUUUAGAAAAUGUGUUGAGAAACAAACAGUUUCCUCAAUUCCUCAAAUGAGUCUACCGUCUCAGGUGGAAGACGACAAUACCAGUUUAGAGCUCCACCAGAGAGGGUAGAGGGGAAGAGAAGACAUUGCUUUUCGUCGGUGUGCAUCCGGUAUGCCAUGGUGGACUAAAAAAGGUUAAGGUGUUAAUCGGAUCCUCCGUUUCAGUAUAGAGUUACAAGCCAAGCUUAUGCUUUAUCUUUGCUUGGAAUGGGUGUCAAGGAUCCUCCUUGUAAGAGGGCCAUGCCUAGGUUGGUUCCAAUCAGGUAUCUCAGCUUGUCGUUCGGCCUUCAACUUGUUUACUUCCUUAAAAAGUUGUAUGACAAAAGGGUCCUGAGUGGAGUCAUGUACCACUGGAGCUUUCUUUCGUAAAUCUUCAUCUCCUCUUGGAAGUAUGAAGGUUUGAUCAAGAGCAUGUGAUUUUUCCCUGGACUCACCGUACUGACUUCCAAGGUAUGUCUGUCGGAACAUCUCUGAGUCCCAUAUACCUUCGUGUUUCUCUAGGACUUGUUGCCCCUUCCCCAAAUUGGUAACCGACUUGGGACAUGGGAGGGGACCGAGUCUUUCAGAGACCCUUGGGUCAUUGAUCUUCGAGCUUACAUGGAUGGGAUUGUCUCGACGUUACUUUAGGAAAUCUCGACAGUCGCAAAAGACGGCUUUCGAUCCUUCCACUCCUUCAGUAAGAAAGUGUCUUCCUCCACUUCUCCUACUUCGGGUCAAAGCAGCUGGGUUGAGAGAAGUCUCAUGUUGAUCAAUGUUUUGAUGAUUAGCUCGCUCCUCAUCAGGGAUACCCAUGUCGAAGAAAUAUGACCCUCCAUGUUAGGGGGCACCUAGAUGAUGGUUGAUGUCCACAAGGGUAACGAGCUCGCGUGUUUGAGUACGCCUAGUUUCGUGGAGCUUCUCAAAGAGUUUCUCAUACUGCUCCUGGAGGACCUCAUUCUUCAUUGUUAUCUUGUUGUUCUGAGCUUCUAGCUCAUCGACUUUUGCUUGAAGAGCAAUCCUCUUUCCUUCCUUCUUUCGUUGCCUCACACCAAGUGCAAAAUGUGUCAUUCUGCAUGUUGUGGCUUCCUUCGCUCCCCAUGUUGGAGAGGGAUGCCUGGUCAAAAAAGAGUGUACGAAUGGUGGAAACCAGCUUAACAAAGUUGAAGAGAGUGGGAAUAAGUGUCGUUCCCAUAGACGACGCCAAAUGUUAAUACACAAAAUCAGUGAGGACUUUGGUACAACAAAAAAUGUUAAGUUUGAGACCUACGCUAGAUUGCUCCGGUCACUAGUGUGGAUAAGUAUGUAAAUAGAUAAAAGCAGGGAAACAAACACAAGAUGUACAUGGUUCACCAUGAUUGGCUACGUCUACAGAGUAGAGAAGUACUAGUGAAUGAUUUAGUACAAAUGACAUUUGGAAAUAUUGUGGGAGAAUGAUCUCAUUUUAUAGAAGAGAGUUUCUAGCUUUGUUUUGACAUUGACACGUGUCGUGUUGUGAUUGGCUUCUAAUGUUGAAACAGAUCGCGCUAUGAUUGACUUCUAAUGUCGACAGGCCUCCUGGUUAGAGGGAAACUCUUCUGGGUCCUUGACGAUAUAACGUUGACCGGUACUCAGUAGUUUCGGGAUUGGUCAAGUAUGGUACAAACACAUGCAAUCAAUCAUAAGCAAUUAAAUAAAAAUUACAUAUUCAUGCUAAGGCUCAAGGCUUCACCAUUCAAAUCAUAGAAAAUAUUCUUAUAAAGAAAAGGAAUGAAAACACCUUAAAGUAGAAAAUCUUCAAGAACCCUAGCAAUUCUCUAUGUCUCCAAGUUUGCAUAAAAGAAACCGUACAGAAAAAACUAGGGCGGCCAAAGCCGUAUACCCUACGCCAAAAACCAACGCACAAUCCCUAGAAAAUAGUCUUUUGUUCCAACUAGGAAACCAAAUAAUAAAUAAAAUAUCUUAGAAAAUAAAAUCCUAAUUAUACUAGAAGAAUCUGCCAAGUACUUGUCCAGCCACGUUUUAGCCUCAGAUAUCCUCCAAAUGCGGCCCAUGAUAGCUUGUUUUGAAGAUCGGGACGUUCUGAACAUAUCUCCAGAAGGCCACGAACCCAUCCGAGGUCAUCUUGGGCUCCAAAAACGCAAUUCAAGCCCAAAAUUUCAUUAUUCCAGCACUGCACGUCCUUCAACUGGAAUUACUCCAAAAUUCGUCCAUUUGACCACGCUUUUCUCCAAAGGAAGUCAAAAGUCUUAUAUUAGAAAUACAAUUCUAAGUAUCAAAAUUCUUCCAAAAUAUACUAAGAAUAUAGUUAAAUAUAUAAUAUAAAAUCUACUCAUCAACCCCCACCCUUUCUUCUCUCCUUUGCAACCCCCACCCACCCUCCCUUCCUUCUCUCCUCUGCAACCCGCACCACCCACCCUCCCUCAUCUCCUCUGCAACUCACAUCACCCACCUCGCACCAAUGGUACCGCCCAUCUCCUCUACAUUCAUCAUCAUCUAUCAUCCAUUGUCAAAGAAAGAAUUCGGAGAUUUCGAAUGGUAUAAAGCCAAAAACCCUAAUUUAAAAAAAAAAAACCAGAAAAAUGAUGAAAUGAGAGGAACAUGGCUGGAGAACACGGAACGAGCGCGCAACCAUGCCGGACGUUAGAAGAGCGCUUGCUCGUUUACGCCGUGAACUGCUAUGACACCCAGAGUUGGGACUCCAUCGCCUUGGAGGUUGGGGGUCGCUGCUCCGCCAAAGCAACGACACUCCUCAUUGCUCUGAAUUGUAGGGACAAGUUCGCCGGAGUUCAUUUUUCUGGUAAGGUUCUCCGGUGAACCUUCCCGCUGAUCCUUUCCUCCGCGCUUGAGAUCUUUUCUCGGACAAGUGGCCUCAGCGUCCUCCUUCAAGCUACGUUCCCUCUCCUCCUCUAACCUCUUCACAUUCAACUCCAACAACCUGUAAAAAACCACACUCUCAUAUCUAAGACCAUUAAACGACGACGCCUUACACUCGAAUCUCUCACAACAGUAGCGAAAUUUACACAAUUGAAAUGUAGCGACGGGGACCUAGCGUCGGAGCUCCUUGACCUUCAGCCUUCGCAGCUCGUCAACCAUCACGCCCAUGCUCCUGGACGAAUCGUCAUUGUCUCCCAAUACGAAAUUAGGGUGGGUGGUGUGGGUUGUAGAGGAGAUAAGGGAGGGUGGGUGGUGCAAGUUGCAGAGGAGAGAAUGGAGGGAAGGUGGGUGGGGGUUGCAGAGGAAAGAAGAGAAGGUGGGGGUUGCAAACGAAAGAAGGAAGAGACGUGGUUGGGGGGAGGUAGAAGAUGGGUGGGUUUUUUUUUUUGUGUUUUUGUAUUUUUUUUUAUUUUUUAAUAUUGAAGUGGGCCUAUAUUGACACAUGGCGCCUAGUAAUUGUCCACGUGGGUGCCACGUCAUCAGUUAACAGAAGUUCUAACAGAAAACUUAACAGAUGUAUAAGACUGUCUCAAAAUUAACACUUUAGGUAUGACUCUAGGACGAAAAAAACUUCAUGUACUAAAUGUUGAAAACCACAAAACUUGAGGGUAAUAAACUGAGAUUUACCCAAUACUAAAUUUAAUCAAACAAUCAUAUAGUUUCAGAUAUAUGUGAUCUUUGAGAUAAGACACAAAAAAUAGACGGCAGAAUCUUUAAAAUAUAUGUACUAAGUGGCUAAAUGUGUGUCAGAAUGUCAAAAGUGUAUGUGUGUUUUUGGAUAGGGUAAUGUUAAGGAGACCAAGUUUCUAAACCAAAUUUUGCAAAUAAAAUGAUGUGGAUGCUAAUGAUUGAUUUAUUACUUAAGUGUCGAUUCACUUUAUGAAAAACCACAUUUUUACACUAAAAAGUCAAUCAUGGUACUAUUCACUUUACCCUUUAUUUUGUUAUUAUCGUUAAAACUCAAAGUUUUCAAGCUACUUUCAUUAGUUUUCCUUAUUUUUUAUUGAUGACACAUAAUUUGGUCUACAAAUUUAAUUUAAAAAUUUGAACUUAGUAUUAUCCUUUCGGAUAUAUGCUUUCCUCCAGACCUAAACAAGGGCUGUGAAAAUAUAAUCCUUCAUCUAAUAAAAAUAUUGGAAGACCUAGACUUUUUCUAUAUUUUAUUGUUCAUGGGAAAGUUAUUGGUAGAAGUUCAGACGGCAGAGUUUGGUCUUUAACAGAUUCGUGAGCAUGGCGUGUAAUGUCCAUUUGUAAUAACAAGAGACAGUAUCAAACACAAUACCUUGUGAGUUGUGCUAUAAGACAAAAUAUCAAUGGGUCACAACUUGGCUCUAUAUAUAGGGCCGUGAAUCUGUUCUAAAUCCUUUUGUCAUUUCUCUCCUCUUUCAAUGUUUCUUUGAAUAAAUUAUAUACAAAGAAUACUUUCAUUUUUAAUGAUAUCGAUGGAAAAACCCAAACACGACGGGAAGAUACAGGUUUGGGAUUGAAAUAAUAUCAGUGUGAUUAUACUAAGUUGUUGAUUCAUUUUUCUAAAAUCAAAAUAAUGCAUAAAUAAUUGUUAUGAAGCUUGAGAAUUUGAAAGUCCAACUCAAAGUUUAUUAUAUCUUGUUCUUGUUCUCCAGUUGAGAAGAUAACAGUGGACUGGUUUUAAUAAGUUAAUUUUCCUGUUUAAGAUUGUAAUACGGUCUAGUGGUAUUUCUUUUCACUGGUUAGUGAGAGGUUUUAGGUUCAAAUCUCGUCAAAUGCGAAUUUGAACCACUUUAUUGUUAGCUUAUUGUGAGAUUAAGCCUACCCUCUUUCCUUAAUAUAGUUAAUAUCGAUUGUUAAAAAAAAAUUGUAAUUAAUUUGCAGAGAUAAAGAAAUAAGGAACACGAGUGCUCAGAGUUUGUAGGUUCGUUAGCCAAGUCAUUUUUGUUUUCGGAUACCUUAUUAUUGAAACAUACUGUCCAGUCAACUGCUCCACUGCAGACGUCAUGGGUUAUGUCACAAACUUGCUUGGCCAGUUUCAGCAGCGUUAAAGACAAAUGUCAACAAAUUAAAUAUUAUUUUUAAUAUAUGAUUAUUUUAACACUACAUAAAAAUUUGGAAUAAGAUUACUUUAAGCUUAUUGUUACCCUCUUUUUGGCUAACAUUUCACCGAUUAAUUUAUAAAAUAUUUUCAUUAAAAAAUAUACAAUAACCAACGGAUAAGUCCCAUUUAUAGCAUGUUAAAGAAGGCAUGAGUUGAAAGUAUACCUUAGAGAUUUUUAAUUUAUUUCCCUUUGUGUUUAACAUUUUUCGUUGUCAUUACGAAUUACUUUAGUACUGUGGCAAAAGCUAAAAUAAAAACUUUCUAGGGUGUGCAGAAAAUAUGGGCUUGUAUGAAAGUGUGUUUAAAAUAAUUGAAAGUGUUUUUAAAUAACUAAAAACACUUAUGAUCAUGUUUGGUAGAAAAAUUAGACGUGAUUAUGAGUUUCAAAAAAGCAUUUGAAGUGUUUUCUAGGAUAAAUAACUAUUGAUGAGGUGAAAAUCAUAGGCCAGAUUUUUUUUAUGUGUGUGUCAACUUUAGGGGUGGGCACUUAGAACCGAAAACCAAAACCGAAACACGAACCAAAUCGAACCGCACCGAAUGAUUUGGUUUUGCGGUUUUGGAACGGUUUCGGUUUUGAAGCCGAACCGCAACAUAGAAAACGGUUUGGUUUCGGUUUUGGCUUUUGAAAACCACACCAAAACCGAACCACACCGCAAAUAUUAAUAAACAUUUAAUUAAAUGUCUAUAUUAAAUUUCAUGUUUUAAUUGGUUAUUUGUUAGAAUCCAUGCACUUAGUAUGAACACAACCACACUAGAAUAUCAUCAUUCAUGACUUUAUUUCGUUCAUUAACUUGAAGGACCUUUAUUAUUUUAUACCAUCACACACACACACGCAUAUAUAUGUACAAGGGUGGACUAAUCUUGUUAUCAAGAGUCGAACAAUGAUCUAAUGAAGUCCACUCAUUUGAAGCAUGAUAUCACAUAUUCUAGUAUGAAAGUUUCGCUCAUGUUUAAUGAAUUCAAAGUUAUUCAACUUGUUUUAUGUUAUACCUUGUAUGAGACACCAUUUUGUUGCAAAAACAUAUUUUAACAUCACAACUGCAUGCAACAUGCUAAUUGUUUAUGUAACAAAUGUCUUUUUCCUAUUGCUAUUGGGAAAUGCUUAUUAAUAUGUUAAAUUGCAAAUUGUACAUUUUUUCUUAAACAUCAAACCAAAACCGUUUGAAACCGCAUCGAACCGAACCAAACGGUUUGGUUUCAUUUCGGUUUUGGCUUCAAAACCGCACCGAACCAAACCGCAAAAAAUUUUGAUUUUGGUUUUGGUUUUGGUUUCACUCAAAACCGCACCGAACCAAACCGUGCCCACCCCUACUUUGCACAUGUAAAUAAAUAUAAAUAAAUAAAAAUAAAAAUGAAAUGGUUACCUAACAACUAAAGAUAUAUAUAAUUUUAUAAUAAAACGAGAGGUCUUUUAAAUUACUUUUUUUUAAUUGUCUUUUAAUUUACUUUGAAAAACAUUGAUAACUUCCAAACAUAAAAGUAUAAAUAUUGGGAAGUAGAUUGAAGUGAGACAUGAUUUAACUGUAAUUUUGUGCUAAUAUAUUGUUUUAUGCAACUUUCUAGGUAGGCAAGUCCAAAUCCCAGGAAAUUCUUUUCCUUAUUUGCCAGAAUAACAUGAUGAUGUAGUAUAAAGUGUACUAUACUACCUCAAUUCCCAAGAAGCAAGAUUCCUUCUUAACCUUUCAAUUAUAAAAACACCUGUCUUAUUCUACUUACUUACCCUAUGAAUAUUGAAAAAGAACAAACACUAGAAGUACAAAAUGGUUGGUCUUAAGCUACGAGGAGCCCUUUUCUUUCACUUUUCCACGAGUUUCUUUUCCAACUUGUCAUUUCUGUUUGAUUUUCUUUUCCUUUGGUCUCCCUUUUGCCCGAGAUUUUGAUUCCUUUCGGCAUAAGAGAAAGCAAUACGUAUUGCAGACGAUGGAUAUUGGAUACUCUCUCUGUUUAGGGAAACUGAAACUAAAUAAAGCAGAGUUCUUGGUGUGAUGGCUUUAACAACACGUUUUUUGGACGGUAGACUCAUCUCUCUUUUCCUCUUCCUUAAAGCUUUAAUAUUAUUAAGUUCUCAAGCUACUUUAGGACUUAAGAAUGAAGCACCAAGACAAUAUCCCACACUUUCUUUGCUAAAAAUAAAUAACAAGACAACUGAAAUGAAUUGGUAAGGAGUAUUGUAUAUCUUCAGAAAAAAAAAUAUGAAGUAAAUAUGAAUAACUACCGAUUGAUUUUUUAAAACAUUUCAAUUAAUAACUUAAUGUCUUAAAAAAUGGAUAUUUGUUAGGUCGCCAGUUUUAAUUUUCUAAGUAGCCCUUUAAAUUCCGCAAUACUAUUUGAUAAAUUGUUUAUUUUCUAGGUCAUCCUUUAAAUUCAAUCAUGCAAAAAAUCAACCUAAUAAAAAUUCAUUUAACCAUGUAAUUAUUGUUUCAUAAUUUAAGUAUUUAAUUGAAAUCAUGAUCUUUCUAUACCCAAUGACAGUUUGAUGACUGAGUGAUAUCAGAUUUCGUUGAUUUUGAUUGAGGGACCUAAAAAAUAGACAGGUUAUAUCAUCAUUCAACUAUGUAGCUGCAAUCUUAGUCUUGUUCGAUACAAGUUUUGAUGUCAACAAUUCUUAUUAGUAUGCAUGUGAAAGCGAUGAAAGAACUUUCCACCAUUGAAAAUUGGUGUGUGCGUUCCGGGAUAAGAAGGAUAAAAGGAGAAUGUCCAAAAGUGAAAGUUGCUAGCAUUCCUCUCGAUAUUUUGUUGAGAUUAUAGAAUAUCACAUCAUGAUUAAUGCAGAACGACAAAGAGAUGGAGGAUAAAUUUUGAAAACACAAAGCCUAACAGAAAAAUGAUAGAAGAACAACGCUCAAUUCUUCAUAACCAUAAAAUUAUAAUUUCAAAUUGUCUGAUCGCAACUUCUCAACCCUCCUUGAUAUACUACGUUGCCACAACUCAUUCGUCAAUGCUCUUACAAUUUCCUAUGCCACUAAAGCACAUUUAACAGCAAUUAACAAGUCCCCACACAAAACCUAAUUAAAACAUUAAAUCAUAGUAAAGCAUGAAUAUGCCAUAACUUGACUUAAUGGUUCAGCACCAAAACUCGAAGAGACUAAAUUAAUUCACCCUCUUUAUGCACUGCAUCAAUGAUCAAUUUAGAUCCUUGUAACAUAUAGAAGACUUCAGGUCUCUCCAGUCAUUGUAAAUUUGUUUUUCAUUGGUAAUUAUCCCUUAGAAUGAGUGGCCAUCUCUUGCAAAAUAUUGAAUAUUUCGUAAAUUUUGUUGUCAUGAUUAUUCCAUUAGAUUAAGAGUUUAGAAUGAAAACAUGUACAUUUUAUUUUUGUCAAAAUUUUAAUUAGUCUAGUAUAAAGCACACUGCUUUGAUAUACUUAACUAUUUGCAAAACUGCAACAUCUAGUUUCCUCUUAAACAGAAUUUCUUUUAUUUUUUUUGGUAAUUGAAGCCUUAAGAAUAUUAAUACUGAUGACUGCUGAACUUGUGGAAUGAGGAUCCUCUCGGGAUCUUUAAAUCGUAUCUGUUUAUCGUAUAUUAUGUGGUUAGAAAUUAUUUUAAAUAUUUUUAUUUAAAAUUAAACAUGAAUAAUAUAUGACGAAAACUGAACGCACGAUAUACGAUGAACGAAUACGAUUUGAUGAUCUUCAGAAUCUUCACAAGGAGGACCCUCAUUCGAACUUGUGUAUGCCUGCUCAAUUCCCGAUGGUGAUCUCCUCCUAUUUUUGUCUUUGACAGUGACACCGCCAAACUUACGUACUAGUGAUUGGACAGUCAUUAUUUCUUAACAGUUUGAGGAACUAGCUAGCUAGGCAUCUUUCAGACGAGGAAAAAAGGAACCAGACAUCGUAAAGUUUAUGCUCAACUUUCUAAUUAACCAACAACCCUUCUUACCGUCGUUAAAGUAGGAUUAUAUAUUUGCCCUUUAAUUUGUUCUGUCAAAAUUAAGAAACUGCGAAAGAAAGAGUAGCUUAUAAUCUAAGCUCUCCUCUUGCGAUCAUAUGAUUCCUUUCUUGUCAAUUUUAUAAUAUGGUCUACGUACCCUACCAUUUAUGACAACUUUAGAACACGUAAAACUCAAGCCAGCCCCUAAUUUUAGGAUUAAAAUAAUAGGCAUGAGAUCGAUCUAGAUAUUGUGCAUAUGGCCCCUGUUGUCAAUAUGUGCAGAGACUGAUGUGUCCCGGCCGGACCAGAGGUCUUUCUGCAUGUUAUUGCAUGCAUAAUUUAGGUAAUUAACUAGUUCCCCUGAUAUUAUUGGCACAUGGGGUAUCUUUCUUAAUGAAUAAAUCUAUUGCUCGCAAGUUAUAUUAACCAGUAAUUAACCUUCAUUAUCAAUAAUCCAUAGGUUCUUUCAGAGAUUGAAUUUCUCUACCUUCGAUUGUAUUGAGAAAAACUACUUAAUAAAUAAAUCCCUUGCACUAAUUAUUGUUUUUUUGUUUAAUUAGAAUCAUCAUUCUUUUCAUUAUUUUUGUUUUUGUUUUUCAAAUUCCUGAUAGCCAAAUUUGGUAGCAUAGUCGAUAAUUGUAUGAAUGUCGCUUCAAUUCACAUAUAAUACACAGACAUAAUAAUCUAUAUGUUAUAGAUAUAGUGAAUAUUUGUAAUGUUAUUCAUGUUCCAGACAAACAAAAAAAGAUAUUGACUUGUGCACUGCUUACAAUGAUAAGACAGUUAAUACUGGCCUUUUCUGAAACCCGAAGGGUUUUUCAACUUUUAUUAUAUAUGUAGAUAAGAUACAUGAUGAGAUACAAUGUUAGGUUUGAGGGUUCCCCAAAAUAGAAUCCAAUGAAAAAACUAUUAGCAUUGAUAGUCAACGAAAACCAAAAACUACUUGCGGCAAUUUAAAAAAAAAAAAAAAAAAAAAAAACUACUUGCGGCAAUUUAAAAAAAAAUAAAUAAAUUGCAUAUGGUGCUUUACUGGCAGAAAGUAAUAAUAUUUAUACAAUUUGGUGAAAGUUCAAUCCCUAUUGAUUUUUAUUUUCGCUAACAUUUAAUACCUUAAUUCAUUAACGAAAUCGUUUGUCUAAAGAUAUUAAAAUCGAUGUUCCGAAGCACCAUAAUUUUUUUAGUUAAGAAGAUGAAAACUAAGAAAGAUCAUGUAUGAUCAUAUGUCCCGUUUCUUGUCGAGAAAAAUUUGUAUAUUAUAUGUAUAUUUCUACAGUUGUCAAAACAGACAAGACACGAACGAACAUACAUUGAAUACUAGCUAGUAUGGUUUAUGACAUCCCAUAAUAUGGAUCAUUCUUGGGAUUGUUAAACAGUACAAAUCUCUCAUUGUCCCAAAGAAAAAGAGAGUGGAUUAAGAAGGACCUAAAUUUCUUUCUCUUUCUUGUUUCACACACACACACACGAUCUCACAGAAAACUUAAGAAGGACAAGAUUAAUCUAGUUAAUCAGAGUUGAUGGAUCCCAAAGCCGUGUCAAUCACUCAACUUGAAAUGUCAAACGCUGGACAGAUCAAUGAUCUUAACCAACAGCCAUCAAAUUACGCCACAAAUAAACCCACCUAAAGCUACCUUAAUCCUAACUUAUCCUCUUCCUUCCAAAUAACAUGAACAAAGCAAUAUUCACACCAACCCCUCAUCUACCAUCUCUCUCUCUCUCUCUCUCUCUCUCUCUCUCUCUCUCUCUCUCUUCUCGUUCAUCAUGCCUGUCAAUCCCUCAUCUACCAUCCCUCUCUCUCUCUCCUCGUUCAUCAUGCCUGUCAAUAUAUAUAUAUAUAUAAAGUGAAAUAAUUUUUUCUUCAUCCACACACUUACAUUGAAUUAUUCAAUCUAACUAACUAUAAAAAAUAAAUAGCAAUGCGCAAGAUGAAAAAGAGAGUAAAAAAUCACAUUUGUGUAUUAACCUCUAUUUUCAUUACUCAUAAUAAAAAAUAAAGAGAAGAAAAUUCAAUCCAAAUGAAUAAGAAAGUCAAAUUAUACCAAUGAAGAACCUAAAUAAUAAGAAUUCAAAGAAUACCAAUUAGCUAGCUAGUUGUGGAGGAAAGGUAAUUCAUAUGAUUGAUUGAACAUAAUUAAACAAAAGAUGUACAUCCAGAAUUUACCAAUUGGUUAGUUGUGAAGGAAUUGAAGUAAUUCACACUCACAGAUGAUGAAGGAAUACAAAUAUAAAUCCAAAUCCAACUGUUUGAAAAACUCAUCCAAGUACCCCUCCUAUAUAUAACCUGGAAAUUCAAUCUUGCCCAGCAGGCUUGAAUCUAUCCAUGAACUUGUAAUACAAAUUAUACGGACGUGAUUGUCACGUUUUGGACCGUACAUAUCCCACAUAUAUAAAACCCAGAAACCAAAAAUCGUGAAAAAUAAAUAAGAAAAAAGGUGUAAUAAUAGUAGUCCGUUGAAUUGAAUUGGCACCGAUCCAUGAAGCAGCUUUGAUUUAUGUACAUGGGCAGCUCCUUUUGGCACGAGAACUGAUCAUAAAGCUCGAUCUGAACAUAUCUUCAACCUCUUCGCGGUUCGUGGUCUCGAAGAACUGCAGUUUCCUCUUGCAUGAAGAACCAACCCUUCUGGCCGGCUUUCUCGGCGCAGGCGGACAUGUAAGAAUCGUGGGGAUUUUGUUCUCUUUGGAUGUUGGUGUGCGGCACUCGGAGACAACGCUGUCGUCGAUAUGAGAUGGCGAUGGUUGCGGUCGUGGAUGCGGGGCUGAAAUUUUGAUGGUGGGGAGUCUUGGAUUUGGGAGGUCUUGGCAGAAGUCCAGACCAGUGGCCAUGGUGGUUUUUGUAGUGGAGAAACGGAGGAGGUGGGAGAUGGUGUGACAAAUAUUUAUAUAGAGGUGUUUUUGUUGGGAGCGAUAUGUAUGUUUUGUGGGGCUAUUAUAUAUUUAUGGAUUGGGGAGAUGGGAGGAGG
Molecule: long non-coding RNA, 81890 nt
Filed under: Malus domestica (apple)
Lineage: Eukaryota; Viridiplantae; Streptophyta; Magnoliopsida; Rosales; Rosaceae
Source: RNAcentral